Molecule: long non-coding RNA, 63263 nt
Filed under: Coffea arabica (coffee)
Lineage: Eukaryota; Viridiplantae; Streptophyta; Magnoliopsida; Gentianales; Rubiaceae
Description: long non-coding RNA (CARA_LNC004887)
Source: RNAcentral
CGUGAUUCAUCUUAAUUUUAAGGGAUAACGUAAAACAUUUAGACAUUUUGUAACUCCAUUUUCAGUAGCAGCAAAAGAUUUUGAGAGUCAUUAACUGUCUUCUCCAUGGUAAAAUAAGCAUUUUCGCAGGGAUCUUUAUCAUUGUUACAUGUCUCUAAAUUAAAAAAAAAAAAAAAGGAAGAAAAUUGCAAGUUAUAGGUAACCCAAUCCUUGUAUAAAUUGAAAUUUUGUAUCUCCAGGCUGUCAAGCCUCGAUUGUCCAAUUUUGACUCUACCGCUCUUAUGACGAAUAUGAGGUUUUAUGUCAGCUGCAUUAACAUGCAUUUAUUCCUGAAUAACAUGAAAAUAUUUACUUUUUCCAAAAACUGUUUGAUGUUUAUCUAAACGCGACCAUAGAAUUCAAAUCCUUGGGUUGGCAGUUAGGGGUAGGAAAGGUUGAAAGGUAAAGGUCAAAAUAUGUAAAUUUUUAAGGGAACAUGUAAGAAUUUGUAAAACCUUAGACCCCCAAACAACGCCAUGAAACUUCCGCCUAUUAAUGGCUGAACGCAACAUGGACACCCAUAUUAAUCAAAUGGUAUAUACGUAGCGCAAAACAACAAUGAUAUUGCCAAAUCAAAUGGUUAGUCAUGCAUGCAUAGUCAACAUGAAUCCUGAUGAAUAAAGGCCCCCACAAUGCACAUUAUCAACUGGUAACUUUAGGUUUCAGUUUAACGGUAGGUGGGCUAUUUAUCUCUCUGAACUCAACCUUAAUCAUCAUGCAUAUUCUGGACUCUGGAGUCUGAAUGACUCAUAAUGUAUGUGUAACGAUGGUUAAAUAUUUCUAAAGCUUUUUCAGUGUGUGAUGCCCAAAUCGUGUGUUUGAGAACCCUGACCAGGGAAGCCAAAGACAAUUCGCUUGGUUUGCAUGUAACAGGAAUAAUCGUGCUGGAAUAUUUUUCUUGUGGAUGCUAGUUUGUUGCUCAUCUCAUUCUCGCCAAGUCCGGAUAAAACGAAUGAGAUUUUAUGGAAUUGCUCCUGAUAUCGUCGCCAUGGCUGUGUGAUAUGCGUCAAAGAUUAGGCAGGCAUGCAAAUUCCGAUGCAAGUGGCCAAGAAGCAUGGAGAAUUGAAGAUGGAGAUAGAACAAAGAAAAAUUCAAGAAUAAAAAAAAAAAAAAAAAGAGGCGCAGAUGGACUUGGAGAAUCCCCCGUCACAAUAUUCUACUCCCUUUCCCAUCUCACUGUAUAUCGUUUUCUUUGUUGUUGUUGUUGUCUCAUCAAAUCAAACAAAUUUUAGCUAGUAAUAGAGGUGGUGGUCCUCCAUCUUUCCACUUGUCAAUGCCCCAUAGCUUCAGCCCUACUCCAUGUUCCAACAACUUGAUACAUCAUUUUGCGCAGAAUCCCCCUAGCCCUAAUCUAAUUAUACUUGAUGGGAAUUGAUGAUAAAGAACUAGGGUUAGUCCAACGGGGGUGCGCAUUCGUUAAAAUAUAAUUCAGGUGUUAGAUUUUCGGAGAGAUAAGAUUAAUUAGGAAAAGUGUAUAAAUGUAAUUAUUUAUUAGGAUAUAAUUUAGGUAUUAGAUUUUAAAAAAUAUAAAAUUAAUUAGAAAAAGUGUAUAAAUAGAAGCGAGGGUGAUAAUUGCUUGUAUGUGCAUAUACAUGGUAGGUUAGGUGGAAUUUAAAUAUGUUAAAAGUGUUGGGGAUAAUACAAGGAAAAAUGGCUAAUGAUACAAAUAGAAAAUGAUAUGAAAUGGCUUCAAAUUGUGGUUCAAAAUCACUUUUCUUUAAGAUUUAUUUGUCCAGAUUUUUAAUGUGCAAAGGAUUUGGACAAAUAUCAUUUAGGAUAAUUUGAAGGAUAUUUGUUUUUAACUCUUGCAUAAAGUUAGACAAAUCAACUUGAACAAUGGUAUGUUUUUGCAAAGGAUUUUAAAGAGGAAGAAAAUAAUGUUUUGCAGCAAACCACCCCUUGCUAGACCUUUUAUAUAGUGGAGAGGAGAUUACGAAGGAUCAAGUCGUGACUUUUAGUCUACAAAACAUGCGUUAACUAAAUGGUUUCUCAAACACUACUAUUAUAAGUGUUCAGACCAUUCUAGACAUUUUGGAAAGGUGACUAACCAUUGUAGCAUGAAAAGGGUAUAAAAAAUGAUCAGUUUCUAACCGUUACACUGAGUUCAGGUGAUGUCCGGUCCAAAGACUGACGCCGAUCGUCACAUAUGCUGUUCAAUUCAAGAAUCUGGUGAUGUCCGACUCAAUCUUCGGUUCAAAGACCAGGACCGGACAUCAACGGACCAAUUUUGUAAAUUUCCCAACAAAAAGAACUAAAAUAUGACUACAUAAUGUUGGGAAAUCAAGUGUGAAUCAAUGUCCCACAUCGGAAAGAGAUGAGUAGAAUGAGGAACAUAUAAGUGGGAAUGACCCAUAGACUCAAUGCCUUAAGGUUUUGGGUUGAAUGUGGUGUCAAACUCAUGGUUGUGGUUCCCAUUCUAACUCAUGGUUUAAUUUCCCCCGGGUUUGGCUCUCUCUGAGCCCAACAGUGGUAUCAGAGCUAGGUGGUUCGACAGGGCAGUGACUCCAGGAUAAAAGCCAGUGGGAGUGGUAAGGCGUGGCUGGUUUGGAUAAAAGCAGGGAAAGAAUCAUGCGGACCUGCAGUGAGGCAGGGCAUGUGGGCUUUUGAGCAAGAAUCGCACACUCCUAAUUGAAGUGGGCUUAAUGGAGUGGAUGGGCUAGGGAGAGAGGUCCGACGUGGAAGAGAUUCACACUUGAGGGGGAGAUUGUUGGGAAAUCAAGUGUGAAUCAAUGUCCCACAUCGGAAAGAGAUGAAUAGAAUGAGGAACAUAUAAGUGGGAAUGACCCAUAGACUCAAUGCCUUAAGGUUUUGGGUUGGAUGUGGUGUCAAGCCCAUGGUUGUGGUUCCCAUUCUAGCUCAUGGUUUAAUUUCUCCCGGGUUUGGCUCUCUCUGAGCCCAACAGUGUUUGUUAGGAAAUUGGCUUAAAUUCUUUUAGGUAGAUUUCUUAUUUUGUGUGGAAGUAACUAGUUUCCUAAUUGGUUUUAGUUACUUGAAGUAGUAGCUAAGAAAUUCUAUUUAGUUUAGGAAAUAGUAUUGGUUUCCAAUUGUUAUUUCAUUUUUUGGCAGUAAUGUUCCCUAUAAAUAGAUAGGUUGGCAUACCACACAAGGAAACACGAGAACGCACAAGGAACACAAGGGGCAUCAUGUAACCUUAUACAUGAGGUGUGAGAGAGGGUUCUUGGGAGAUGAGAGAUGGUAUACAAGGGUUGGGUUUGGAUUCAAGUUGUAUUCUUGUAUAGGGUUUUCCUCUCAUAAUAAAGAACAGGUUUCUCUCCGUGGAUGUAGGCUCAAUGGUGGAGCCGAACCACGUUAAAUAUUGUGUGUCGUUUAUCUUUCAUGCUUGUGACUUGUUUCCUCAUUAAAUUGUUGUGCACUUGAUGUCUCAAUAGUUGUUUAUUCCGCGCCUGGAUCCUAACAAGUGGUAUCAGAGCUUGGUUGUGAGACAGGGCUGCUCAAGAUUCGUAGUUGGUUCCUAGUUAACUAUUGAAAUCAAGUGGAUUGAUAGUUGUUACCAAUUGAAUAAUUUAAUGAGUGGUAUCCUUGUUUCAAUGGCUUGGCAAAAAGCAUUGAUGGUGAAGGAUGGGAAGUCGAAAAGCAUGGAAAUGCUUGACGGUGAAUCUAGGCAGGUGAUUCAAGGGUCAAGAGAAAGGUGGAGUCCAAUGUUGAUUUGGACGUGAAUCGGUGGAGACUUUCUCACACAUCCAACGGUUGAUUCUUCAUCCCAAUGGAUUUUAGAUUUUGGUUAUGUUUUGGGUGAUGUGGCACGUGUCCCAAAGAAACAAGGAGAUCUAAUUUCUAUGCGUCAGAAGACUCUGACAGGUACGAGUUUUUCGUUUUAGGUGGAGUCUUGGAAACCACAUGUGGCGAGACAGUCCUGAGGAUGGGAAGAAGUAUGGUAAUUUUACCACUUGAUUGCCUCAAUGGUUAGAGUUAGAGCUCACAGAAGGGGAUUCCAAAUUGCAAGUGGUGGUGAGAAGAAAUCCUGCAAAGGGAGAUGGUGAAUUGAGGCACCUUCUCACGAGUCAACUGGAGGUUGGACUCGGGGUAACUACACAUGUUCAUUUGCCGAUUGAAUCAAUUUGGUAUCAGGACUGUAUUGAUUCGAGUGUGUAGUUUGGUACCAUAUUAUUUGGUAGUUGAAGGCAAAUGGUUGCUAAAAGAAAUUUUCGCCAAGGUGGAGAUUUGUUAGGAAAUUGGCUUAAAUUCUUUUAGGUAGAUUUCUUAUUUUGUGUGGAAGUAACUAGUUUCCUAAUUGGUUUUAGUUACUUGAAGUAGUAGCCAAGAAAUUCUAUUUAGUUUAGGAAAUAGUAUUGAUUUCCAAUUGUUAUUUCGUUUUUUGGCAGUAAUGUUCCCUAUAAAUAGAUGGGUUGGCAUACCACACAAGGAAACACGAGGACGCACAAGGGACACAAGGGGCAUCAUGUAACCUUAUACAUGAGGUGUGAGAGAGGGUUCUUGGGAGAUGAGAGAUGGUAUACAAGGGUUGGGCUUGGGUUCAAGUUGUAUUCUUGUAUAGGGUUUUUCUCUCAUAAUAAAGAACAUGUUUCUUUCCGUGGAUGUAGGCUCAAUGGUGGAGCCGAACCACGUUAAAUAUUGUGUGUCGUUUAUCUUUCAUGCUUGUGACUUGUUUCCUCAUUAAAUUGUUGUGCACUUGAUGUCUCAAUAGUUGUUUAUUCCGCGCCUGGAUCCUAACACAUAAUUGCCAAAGAAUUUGCUGUGAAAAAUGAAGUUGAAAUCCUUUGAAGUAAAUUUUAACAAUUUUGAGAUGGUGAAUACGGUUCUCAACGAAAAUAUAAUAAUCAUCGGGAUCAGGUCUAAUUUCCAAAGAAAGAAAAAAAUCAUACGCAACCGCCUUUGGCAGGUUUCAAUUAUUGCCGUACAUCUUUUCCCAAGUCAAGGCUGCUGCUUCGUCAAGUUAGCACUUAGCACCGCAGGGAAACCAGGCUGCCCAUAUCUGGAAUGGAAUAUAAGGCUUAUACGCCACAACGGGCAAUGUCACCUCAGAUUAGCCAUAACGGGUAUUGCUCAUCUAGCAGGCUGUCUUUUCCUUCCGGAUGGAGGGGCCCAUGCCAACAAUUGUAGAGUGCAAUUCAUAUCAAUUAAAAGUUUUCUUUGAAACUAAAAUAGUUGUGAUUAAUCUAAAAUACCAAUUUCCAUAAACAAAUAAACGGCUAAUAUUAUUGUUGUUAGACAUUUUGUGUUGUCUUAGAGUUGAAAUUUUGAUGUAUUAUUAUCACCGUAGAUUAUCCCAUGUUCCAGAAGAGAAAUUAUAUCAAGUGCAGCAAUUCCAAAUGGUGAAUGGAUAGGAUAUUUCGAACAAGGCAAAUUUUAAAAAGAGUAAGUUCAAAACACUUGAUGUAAUUAAUUUUGAUGUAACUGAUAUGCACAGUCUCACGUGAACAAUAAUUAAAUAUGAAAUUCCAACCACAAAAUUGUAUUAAUAAUUUGCGAUGAACUACAAUUUAUGUCUCUUUUUGCAGCAAUUACAGCAGCACCUCAUCCAUCGACCUGUCCCCUCCGCGAAGGAGUGGAACGCAGCCUUUCUCUUGUUGAUAGAUUUACUUUUCCUUUUUGGGACUUGGUCACUGCCCAGCAGGCUUCUCGUCAAGGAACAUAGAACUAAGCAUAUUUCACUGGUCUUAUCUCUUGGUAUUUGCUUUUCUUUACUACUCAUCUCGUCGUUGAAUUCGCUAAUGCAUGAUCGAUCUUUGGUGCAAACUGCCAAAUUCCGUAAUGGACACAUAGUCAAAUUUGUUUAUCCGUCCAUCCAGACCUCCACAAUGUUGCAAGGUUUUGUCAAAAGAUUCCUUCAAGGAGAAUGGCUGGGAGUGGGAAAGCAUCAAACUUUCCUGAUCUGGGUACAUCUUUAUUCGAUUACUUUUGGGUUCGAUCCCUCUGGCUGUGGGUCAUAGGUUCUUUUAGUUCGGGCCAGCCGGACAACCAUACACGAUGAAGAUAUCUCCAGAAGAGAAAGAUGAAGAUGAUGAUGCUACUUUUAGACUUCUUUGGAACUUUUAACAACAUAAUAUGGGAGUGGAAGCCCCCAUUCUCUAACAUGGAGAUGGCAUAUCUUCCAACCCAGUGCCCUUUUCUUUUGCGUGUGCUUCCUUUGCAUCUUUAAUUUCUAAUAGUUAUUGUUUGCAAUGGCCAAUGAGACGCGUUGGAGUACUGUCAUCUUUUGCACCCCUUGUAACUUGAUCAACGAGAUAAAUCAACCAUAUUAAACUCCCGUGGUGCCACAGUUGCAUCAGUACAUUAAACAUCAUCAUCAUCUGGAGACGGAUCGAUCACCUUAAUUGUGUAUUCAUCUCCUAUUGGAUCUAUGUUACGUAAUCUCCAUUAGCUCCAAAUCUCAGAUUCCAACCUGGAAAACUAUAAACUAACUGGAUUUGGAUGAGUGAGUGAUGGGGUUUCUUUCCUCCAGCUUGUCAUGCCACUAGAACAAUUCAGUUGGCCACAUCACUUGACAGAAUGAUGAGCUGGGGUGUGGGAAGGAACCCGUAUAAUUCUAAUUCUGUCGACCUCGCCUUCGGGAAUCACUUGAAUUGCGAUUUUCUUUCUUUUGGUCGUUUAUUUGCCUUUAACCCAAGCACUAUAAUCCUUCAAAACCUCGCGUGAAGGAUAACAUCGGAUCUUGCAUUAAUCAGCUAAGUACGCAUCAAGAGGAGUCGCUACUAGCUUAACUUCACUCAGUUCUCAAGCAACUCAAAGAUGCAUCUUCGUCUUCUUUGGCUUAAAACUUCAUGAUAUAUAUACACACACACACACACACAACCACAUAACCUUUAAGUAUAACUGUUAACUUUAAAAGUCUAAACCCUCCUAUGGUCAAGUGGCCCAUUUCUAAAGAGAAGAAACAAAAAAUGCUUAGACUAACAAAUUCUGUUCAUAACAGCAACAAUUACGAUUAAAAAGUACCAUCUACAGCCACAACAUUUUCCCAAUUUGAGGUUAACAGUACAUCUGUCAAAUAACGCAGAGAUCAAAUGGUUUAUCUUCAGCAUAACAAACAGCAAAAAGAAAUUCCAUUUGGUUGUCCAAUCCAUAGGCAGGCCAUAGAUAUUAACUAGGAAAAGCUCAUUAAGGGAUGUCGAACACUGGCAGUCAAAUCCCACGCAUCGAACUCUGUGAUUUUAAAUGAUCAUCUUUGCUGCACGUUCAAAAAUAGAAAAGAAAAUAAGAACUUGCAAAGUUCCAGCUUGUCAGUCUCAAAAAAGUGAUAGGUUCCAAGCGUGGAACACAUAAUUAUUAAUAUAUCAAGUACAUAAUAAUUUAUUGACAAACAAACUACAAGUAUAAAAGAUAAAUCAUGCAUAAUAUUUAACGUAAUUCGGCUCUAUCAUUGAGUCCAUGUCUAUGGAAAAAAAACUCGUUUUUUAUUACCAGAGAAAAACCUUAUAAAAGAAUACAAUUUGAACUCAAACCCAACCCUUAUAUAUCAUCUCUCAAGAACCCUCUCCAUCCUUAUGUAUAAGGUUUCUCUCCAUAGACGUCGACUAAUGCCUCCUAAACAUACAUUACUUCACCUAAUUUCAUGGGCUUCUACUCGACAUUUCUGAAAAACCAACUUCUAGAAGUGAAUGGACGUCGUGGUUGCCAUUACUUAGCAUCAGCAACCAAGUGGCACUUCUUUGUGGAUUUCUGCGAUUAGUAGUGUUUCUUGCUUUGGUUUUUGUAGUUGAGGCUUCGGGCAAACUGCCUCAUCAUUUUAUAUGCAGACCGCCAAAAAAAAUGUUACUUAUCUCCAAUUUGUGCACAAAAAAUUGUAAUGGAAUUAGAUCACUUGUAGUUGUAUUUUUUUAGAAGAAAAGAAAGUAAUGGAAUUAUAUCCAACCGCCAAAAAAAUGUAAUGGAAUUAUAUCAGGUGUAUUUGUAUUUUUUUAAUAAGAAAAGAAAGUAAUUUAUAAAAUGAUAAGCAGCUUAACAAAAAUAAUUUUAUUUGUCGUUUUAUAUGCGAACCCCCAAAAGAAAAUAUUUAAGUUACUUAUCUCCAAUUCGCACACACGGAAAAGUAAUAGAAUUAUAUCACUUGUAUUUGUAUUUUUUAUAAGAAAAGAUUUAUAAAAUGAUAAGCAGCUCAACAAAAGUAAUUUUAUUUUGUAUUAUACUAUUAGUCAAAACUUUACUCAAAGAAGAAAAAGGCUAUUAUAACAAAUUGUAAAAGUAUGAUUACUUUCAAUAUUUUCAUCACAACACUUUAAUUGGUAAGACGUUUCGCUUGUAACUUUCAUCAAGAAGGAAUUCCCUUGUGGAACUAUUAUGGGCAUGCAGCCAAGAAGGCACUGUGAACUUGAAGCUCGGGGCAGGAUUCAACAAACGGUGGUUGAGAAGGGAAAUUUGGUAGAAAAAAGAAUCAUGUCCCUGUCAAUUAUCUUCGAAUUUGAACUUGAAAAUAUAUAUAUAUAUAUAUAUAUAUAUGGGUAAAGCCAAAUUAAAACUGUUAAAUAUCAAGCCUUUCAUUCUCUAACAUUUUAUUGCUUUUUUUGGUCCCAAUCUAUAAAUUUGUGCGUUACGAAAGGAAAAGGAGUUGUUGAUGUUGCAACCUUUUUGAGUGAUUUCAUAUAUGUUUAUGUACGAACAUAAAUGAAAUCAAACUAUCAUUCCUCGCUACACAAAGCAAACCUCUCAAUGUUUCAUCUGAAUGUUAAUGUGGUUCACUGAUCUUCAGUCCACUCACAUGCAAAGAGAAACUUACAGAGAUAGAUGAGAAGCUAAAUUGUCACGUAUCAGAUAUUGCGUACGUACUAUGGUUACAUUUGGGAACAUGUGGAAUAAUGCCAUUAUCAGAUUCACAUUCGGUGCAUGGCCUUAUGUAUUUUCGUUACUGAUUACUGAAUAGCUAGCGACCAUAUGGCUUCCAUUUUGCCUUUUACUUCAGCCUCAAAAUGCUUUUUCGCUGCCAGCCAGGGCUUCCCAGUCGUCUGCAGCAUCCACCUUAUUAAUUUGAUCUCUUGACAAGAAAUAAAAGCAUUAUUGCUUCUGCCGUACAACUGAAAUCUCCAACAUAGGAUGGAAAAACACGAAAAUGCCAACAAAUUAAGAACACUCCUCUACAACAUUGAACAGAAUUAAGGACCUGCAAAACCGCAUGCUACUGUUGCGUACUAAUACUUGCACAAUAUAUAGUCCAUCAUGGAAACAAUCAACACUUGAGCUAUCAAGCAGCUAAGUACGUACCAAUAAGCAGUACAUCUCAAUGAUCUAUAAAUGUGUAGAAAUCAAUGAAUGAAUCCUGUAUCCGCUUUCAACUUAAGUGAUCAGUCAGUAUUAGCUAGAAGCAAUAAAAGGUCUCAGGAAAGGGAGUGACGAAAAUGGCAUCGGUGACCAUAGGGGCAGAUAUCCCCAGCAAGAACCAUCCGGCAAACCUCAGUCUUGUAACGAGGGUGCCUUAUCACCGGACGCAGCUCCAUGAUCCCAUGUGCGAAUCGACAGUUUCCAGCAAAAGGGCAACUUCCGGUCUCCUGCCACUUGUUACACAGCUCCGUCUUGGACAUCCCUUGGUUGUACACCUCGAACUGCGACGCCUCUUCCUCUCUCCCUCCCCCUGCUACGUACACCCUUUGCCUAGCCUUCUCCUAUUGCAAAUUAAUUACUAAUUUAUAACCAAAGAGUGAUAUAAUACAGAGUUUUUACUCUCUUAUUGUUCCACCGUCUCUUGAGUUCCAAGUCAAUGUGUCUCAAUUCUUACUAAUUAAACAAGUACUUGAUCUACGUACUAUUAAACACGCACAAAAGUGUGGCGCGCAUAAAUUCUUAAAAGUAAUUAAUAAGCCUCCACUGAGUAAUGCACAUACCUGAAACUUAGAUAGUUCCUAUAGACUUCUAUUAUACGGUAAUUAAUUAUCGCCAUAAAAAAAGUAUUCUCAUAUAAAGGGGGAAAUUUUUAAAAAAGACUCCGGAAAACCUGGCAUUUUAAGCUAGUCAGAACAGGACGUAAUAAAACAACGACAAUCGAAUACGUAAAAUAAUCUUUUUUUAUAAAGAAAUGUUCUAACCGAAUCUGGUAAGGGCGGAGAGUUAACUCGGUUUGGACUCGAGGCCUGAGUCGUCGGAGCUUCAUAUUUUCCAGCAGAUUUGGGUUUAAACUUGAGAUAGCCGGCGGAGCGAAUGGAAAUGCUCUUAGGGAGGGAGACUCGUUCGGCGAGGUGCCGUCGUUGGAAGCGGUUUUGUUGGAUGACAUCGGGACCCGGAGCGGGUGAGGCCUCGCGAGAGUAUAAGCGCGGCGAGGGAGUAUCGUUUCCACUGAUUCUGAGGCGGUUGAAGUCGGAGAGGAGGCAGUUGUGGAUGGUGGCUCGGGAGAGGAGACUGAGGCGGUGAACUAAGUCGGCAUUUGCGAGGCGGAGAGAUUCGUUGUCUUGACCGAGAGCCUGCACUUCUUUGAUGGAUUCGCGGAGGUUGGCGAGGCAAAAUGCAUAGCGGUUGUAGAGCUGCUGGUACUCGAGGAUGAGGCUGGAGUCAGAAUGGCAGCGAUCGGGGGUGACUACUUCGUCUGUCAUGGUAUCGUAGGAGGGAGGAAGAGCUCGAAAAUUGAGAGAUAAGUGCGGAGUACCGGUUUAACGGUGAUGUGGUGGCGAUGUCGGAGGAGGGCGUAUAUUUGCUUGGCGGCGGUGGUGGCCAAGGUUCCGGUGAGGAGGAUAUGCUAAUCUUUCACGAGUAGAGUAGCGUUGGGAUUGGGUAUGGGAUGUACGGGAAAACACUAUACAGCGUGAAGGAACAAGGAAGUAGUAAUAUGAUCUGGGGUUGGUUAUGAAGGAGCGAGAGGAUGCAGCAAUCACAUCCAUGGGUUUGGAAACUCCGGAUUCAUUUCAUAUGGUUGGUGAAAUUCUCUGGACAUUGCUUGGGUGGGAAGAAUUUAAACCAAACAAAAAAACAAAAGUGAGGGAAGUGGUAGUUUGGCGGGCGGGGAAUUUAGGAGAACGACGAAGAGGGGACCGGUUGCUCGCUCGCUGAGGUGGGUCCCCGACCGUUAAGGCCCCCUGAUCCUCGUCCCUACUUCCUUCCCAAUUCCCAAGUCCUAACCAUUUUUCUCACUGAAAAUGAAUAAAGAAGUUUCUCUUCCUAUCUACUGAGUUAACUUUCUUCUUUUUCUUUUUUUUUUUGUCGACACAUGAGUGUUCGGAUGAAUUCUUACAGGAUCUGAUUAAUUUCCUGCGGCUCGGGUUCGGCGGCCCAACCCGACACAAGCACGAUAAGUGCGCGGAGAAAUUCAGCUGAGCAGAGACUCGAUCUUGAGACCAAGUGAUCACCAGGGGGAGGGGCUACUGUUGGACCAUUCACACGGAGUUAUCUACUGAGUUAACACUUAGUGCUUUUAGCCUCUUCUGACCAUUUUUUUUUUCCAAAAAAAAAAAUCUUUCAAAAGAAAAAAAAAUUAAGUGGAUUUGGAUUAUUUGAUACAGUGUAAUAUUUGUCUGGAAACAGGCAAUUAAGUGGAUUACAUCAGAAUUCCGAUUAUGUGUUAUGUGCAUGAAUAAUUGUUCGAUAUAGAUUGCUUAAGAUGAAAGAAUGAGAAGGUGGAGGAGGAGGAGGAGGAGGGUGGUGUGAUAUGCAAGAAUCCACUACUAUGUAUAAUGUAUGUCUGUGAAGUGGAAUCAUGAUGAUGAGUUGGAUUAAGAAUAACUUAACUAAUGGUUUCAUGGGAAAUAAGUAAUUAAUAAAGUCUCUCUAAUCAUUUCAGCAGAGAGCCGUUGCUUCCUUACCACAUCUUUAACUAACUCACUCCCUCACUCGAGGCUAGGGCUGCAAACGAGUCGAGCCGAGUCGAGGUUUGAGCUAAUCGAGCCGAGCCUUAGCUAAAUUUUAUCAAGCUCGAGCUCGAGCUCGAGCUCGACGAGCUGGCAAUUUUCGAGCUCGAGCUCGACUCGAAUCAAGUCGAGCCGAGCUCGAGCUCGAAAAAAAUAAAAAAAAAUUAUUUUAUUUUUUAAAAAAAUAAAUAAAAUAAUAUUUUUUCUGAAUAAAUAAUAAAAUAUUAAGGAUAUAUCCGUAAUUUCACUAUGAAAAUAAAAAAUAAAAAAUAUAUAUAUAUAAUAUACGUAAUUUUAUUAUUAAAUAAAAAUAAAAAUAAAAAAAAAUAUAUAUAUAUAUUCAAGCUCGCGAGCCGGCUCGCGAGCUAACGAGCUUAAUAUUUUGAGCUCGAGUUCGAGCUCGAGUUUGACUCGAGCUGGCUCGAGCUCGACUCGAGCUCGAUUAAUGUCGAGCUCGACUCGAGCUUGACUCGAGCCGCUCGCGAGCUCGAUUCGUUUGCAGCCCUACUCGAGGCUAGCCGUGCAGCCUUGUUCCACUGUUCACAAUUUCAUCCCACGGAUUUAAUAUUGAUCCUAAUUAAGGGGCAUCAGGCAACCAGUUUUGAAAACUGAAUCGAUGGGAGUCCUGUACACCAGCCUACUACCUACCUUAUCAAUCAUUCUGAUGCGUCCUAACUAACAAAAGGUUAUUUCGAUGCUAAUCAUGACUAACUAACAAGAUUCUUGCUGUGUGUGGAGAUCGUAAUUUCCAAAGUUUGAUGGCGAGAUCAAAUCCCCUCUGAUAAACAUUUAGAUUCUUCUAUCACUUUACAACUGUAUGUAAUUAAUUGGCACUCUUUAUGAUUUUGAUUGCAGUCAGGCAAAUUAAGGAACAUCACAUCCUACAGCCACUAUAUGAGAAUGCCCGCUGCCGGCAAAUGCAUUUGAUCCAUCAUUGGAUGCAUGCAUGGCGUAAUUAAUUAAGCCAAGCAUCCUUUUAAUCAACUUCUUCAUGGUGAGCAUCCUUGGAAGUUCUCUACUACUGAUCGAUCGAUGAUGGUUUAUUAAAAUUUCACCGCUUGGUUACUACUUUAUUCGAUCAUUUGUUAAUUAUUAUGAUAUAGAAAUUAGCAUCGAGUUGGCGGCGCGGGGGUUUAGAAGCUGCAGACCGACACUGGGGAGAGAAUCUGCAUGUACAGGACGAGACCUCAGUGGAGUGGAGGAAGGUGACUGAACACUAUUCUCCGACGUGGGCUGCAUCAGUCUGCUGCGCUUUGUCAGUCCUACACGUGGCUAUGUUGAUGGUCUAGCCCAAUAAAAUCCAAGAACGGCCCAAUCAAAAUUUUGGUCAAGACUGACAAGAUUAUAUAGACUCUACCGAACAAAUUUUUGGGCACAAAUUUUAAUGAGAGGGAAAAUUUUUAGUAUUAUUUCACCUUAUUUUGUGAAUGUUUACAUCUACUAUUAUAUUAGUGUCUGCAUCUAUUGUACCUGUGUCCACAAAAAAACACUAUAAUAUAAUAUGUCAUCACGACUAAUAACAGCACAUCUUAUGACAAUUUGUUUAGCGAAAGGUCAAAAUACUUAAAAGAUAUGUAGAGCUCAACAGCUAGGUUUGCGACUAUACCAUUUUCAGCUUAUGCAUGAUUUAGGGUAAAACUAUUUCUAUGCCACUCUGUGCCUUGAUUAUUAAUAGGAGGGCUAUCGUUCCGCACCACCCUUAAAGAUGUACAUUUAACUUUUUUUGAAGCUAAGCAAGUCAAAUUUUCUUUAUUAGGCGGUCUUGCCCCCAUAAAUUAAAGAAUAAAUUUGUUUAAUUGUUUUUUAAUAGGUUGGACAUUAAAAACAGUUGAUAACCAAGCUUGACUCGAUUGGUUAGGCAGCUUUAGCUGUCGCAUAAACAUUUAAACUGAAAUAAUUAGGAGUACAUAAAUAACAAUAACCAAAGAAAGUGCUAGUUUUCAAUAGGGCUGAACAUACUCGAAAAUAAGAAAGAGUUGAGGAAGUAUAGGAGCAUCCUGAAGUUGUCAGGAGUUUGAACCUUACCUGCAGUGAAAAAAUUUCAAAAGAGGUGCCAGAAACACCUCUUUGAUCUAGUAGAUUUUUAUACUUAUUAGACCCUUAUACAUACUAUCUUUAGGCUCCUCUCCCCUAGAUUAGGUUAUAGAAAUGCUAUCAUUGCUGUAUUAAAAAAAGGGGCUCUUGUCAAAGAAGCUAAACACUAGUGGUAUUUAUUUAGACCACAAGGACAUGUCUGAAACUUGAUACUAUUAAAGAAACCAAAAAAAAAAUGUGUGGAGGAGAAUUUACCCAAUUUAGUUGUCUAACGUAUCGUUUCAAGCUAAGCAAAAGCGCAAAUUAAAUAGCUUUCAUAUAGGCAUCUGGAUAUCGAGAUGGUUGUAAGUAGUUGUACGUUGUAUUCAAAGAGACGUUUGUGGUUUUCAUUUACUAUAUAAAUUAUAACCCGUUUCCCCUUCUUAAAAGCUAGGCACGUUCUCUUGUUUACUGGUUGCAACGUCUGAAAAUGUCCUAAAGGGUUGGGCAGUAGCUAGAGCUUAAUUAGAGCACUAAAAUGGCGGUUAGAUAUUUGAAAACAAAUACAGCAAAACUCAAAAGUAGAAAAGUGUUUUUUAAGAAAAAUAAGAAGGAAAGAAGUUGGCCCAAAUUGGUUCCACCUAAUUACAAAUUGCAUGAAAUGAGACCUAUAAAACAAAGCUCGGUAUUAAUUUUUCUUUUUUUCUUAUCCUAAUUCCUAUGUAUCCUUGCAAUACCACAAUGGGAGGUUGUACAGUCGAUUAAUUGAAUAAUGUGACAUUUCCUGAUCGGGGGGAUAAUCAAUCCCUUUCAAAGGAAGGACAGCCAUUGGAAGUUGGGAUUACUGAAACGCUAAAAUAUCAGUACAUAGCAAAAUGGAAUAAGAAAUCUCUGCAAAAAUUAUAACUCUGCUCUUUAAAGAAAAUAAACCUCAUUGGUCUAUAUUAAAAUUCACAUUCAGAGACAAUUCGUGCGCUUUGUACAUAGAGAAGCUGAAUAUCAAAUUUCACCCACGUUUAGGAAGACAAAAUUAAAGAUGAAAAUCUAGGCCAGUAGCCCUACCUGGAAUCCAUCUCCAUGGAAACCGCUAGAGAUUUGUAUAUCUCAUAAAUAAGCCUAUUUUCGAACUCGCUAUUUUUAUAAGUUACAGGAACCGGGCGAGCCUCUGGGAUCCUCUUUCCGGCAAAAUCAUUUCCACUGUUCAUUGCCCCGACGUUGCCAGCCAACCUAAGCAUCAUGUUCAUAUAGGCGUUCUUGAACUUGGUCCAGAGCUUCAGCGGGGAAGCAAAUUUGAGGCGCAACUUUGGAAUUGCUCUGAUCUUCCAUGCCCUCUUCUCUCUGUGCCCUCCAAACUUCACAAUCUUUACACUCCUUCUCGAGCCGUUUAUUCGGUGAUAGGUCUUUCCUCUUCUCCAUUGCCUCUUCAGGCUUCCGUUAAAUGGAUUAGCAAGCAACUUCAUCUUUUUCAGUUGUAUGUGGAUUGGAAACACUAGGGAAGGGAAGGGAAGGUUUGAUUGGUAACUGGGGGGAGGGCUUUUUUAUAUCAUAGGGAUGGGAAUGAAAGAAAGGCUGAUGGUAUUUAUAUGAAAACAAAAGGAAUCUUUUGAGUUGGCGAGGCCUGUUUCUUGGUAGCAAGCGGCGCGGGGAUGGUUUUCUUUUAUUAUGCGACGAUACAUCCUCCUGAGUCCUCCUGCCCUCGGCAACCCGCUGAAAGUAGUUGGUAAGCGUAAGCGGCCGGUCAACAAAGUCGGUUUUAACAUUUAUUGGUUUUCUGAAGUUUUUUAAGCGCUUAAGAUGAUGGAGUUGCGUGUUUGUCUUUUAAGUGCGGAGCAUGGAAUUCUUCAUUAGACGCCCAUUAAAAGUAAACCUUUGACGGAGAUUAUCAGGAUCUUCUCUGCUUCAAACGGACGUAAAGACUGGAGACUGGGAAAAAAGAAUUCGUUUCGAUAUGAGAAUUUGACUUCCAUAAUCGCUUAGCUCAUGAUUCCUUUCAUCAUUAAAAUUAAGUUUAAAAAUAAUGAUGAUAUGAUGCACUAAGAAAUAGGCCAUUCCUUUCUACUUUUCUUUUUACCCUCUUGUGAUAUCAUGUCCUGUGCUGCAGAAAGAGAUUAUUAUACCACUCCUACUACGUUACGAGUCUUGAGACAGUAGUAUCAGCAUUAACCAGCACGUAAUCCCGUGCCAAAAAAAAGUAUACCCUUCUUCUUCAUUGGUCUAUAUUUGCGGUCUCAUUAGAUACUAGUACUAAUUCAUAUAUAUGCUCCCAAGUAUAUAUGUUCUAGUACUAAUUCAUAUGCUCCUCUCAAUGGCUGCUGCUGCUUCUUUUUUUUGGUCUGCCCAAUCGUAUCAAAUGCGACCUUUAAUUAGUUUCCAAAAGAUGAAUAAAUUAUUACUUAAAAAACACAAUCAAUUAUCAUGCAUGGCCAAUAAAAGGAGAUCCCUGUAUUUGGCGGAUGCUUAAGAAAAAUCUUGCUUGCUUACUCUUUGAUUAAUUGUUGAACGGGAAUAGAAGUAUGUUUUCUACGAAACACUACUGAUAAUAGACAAAUCAGCAGCAACGAAGAACAUGGAGAACGACAAAAGAAUGUUCGUCCUGUUUUCUGAAUUGUAAUUGUAAAACAAGGGCCGGCCUGGCCUGCAGUAUACUUACUUAAGACGCAUCUCUUCUCAAUUUUCUUGCUCUCUCUGUAAUUUGAAAUAGUCCAUGCAAUUGUUAAUGAAUCAAGAAAGCUCUGUUAAUUAACUCGAGAUAACUACUGGAACAAGUCUCAUCCGCGUUUCAGGCUCUUCUUGUCCAAUUUUACUACUUGGAACUUUCUAACCAAAAAAAAAAAGGGAGAUAAGAAUAAUGAUCGGGUGAUCGGUUUCUCGCCACCUUUAAUAGAUUACACGAUAUCUGAUGGUAAAAACAUGUUAGUUUUUGCUAAUGAAGGUAUCGAGAUCAUGGAAUCAAGAACAAUCGAUCGGCUGUCUUUUUUCUUUUCGUACGUGCAAACUCUCCUGCUGAUUAUGUAACAUAAUAAUAGUGUAUAACAAGACUCGAUCGGUAGUAGCAGUCGACAUAUAUAGGGAUUGAUUAAUGUCUUUCCUAAUUAAAUCAGGCCUUGGACCUUCGCAUGGCAUAUGGCUUGUAAAAGUUCAUCCAAUUUGUUUGACACUUUAAUUAAUGUUAAAAAAAAAAACUGAUAAAUUAAGCACCAACCAACCAAAUAUUACUAAAGUCACUCAGGCCUACGAUAGUUUCAAUGGAAGUCUGAAAAGACUUUCAACAACCUUCAAGAACACGCAAAAACCAACAUGUACGUGGUAUGCAACUCAUCUUCUCCUUCUCAACAUUUUCUCUUUAAAAAAAUUUAAAAAAUAAAAAAAUAAAAGGUUGCAUUCGUGUUAAGCAACAGGUAGACUACUGUGACGCAGAAUAAAUUGUGCGCUCGGGAUCCGGUAGAAUACGCGAUUUCGUUCGUGACUAUAUAUAGAGGAUCAAAUUGGACCGCAGUCAACGUGAUAUUAUUCAAAUCAAUUGCUAAAUUUUUUCGGGGAAAAAAGAAUUGAAAUUUUAAAUUAGCUGUCCAAAUGAAACUAUUAUAGUCCUUAAUUAAUAGUAAAGAAUCAACUCCGAUCCCUUAGGUAAAUGGUCUAUGAUACUCGAUAUUGACCUGUGACUUGCAGCAAAAUGAAGAGGACACUCGUGGCAUGAAGUCGUUCGACAUUUCUGAAAUUAAAUCAGUAAUUAAUGUAUACUACAUUUUUUUUUCCAAAAAAUAAAAAAAAUUUAACAGUAAAAUGGUGAAUUUUUUUUUUAAAAAAAGGAGAUAGGCACUCAGAACACGUGACCUCUAAACCUUAAAGUUUCAACUUCGGCAACCGGACAUCGAGAUUUCUGUUCUGUAUAAUAAAGUAGAAAUAUUACUGUACUACAGAUGGCACGGUGGUGGCGUCAUGUAUGAUGUUUAGCACAUAAAUCUGUGUCUGAAAUUUCAUCAUUUCAUCAUUACUGUGGUGGUGUCAUGUAUUUUGUGUUACAUAAAUCUUGUUUGGAAUUUCAUAAUUACACGUUUGUCUCGUUUCAUUACUACUUUGUCAAACACUAUACUGUAUCAUACUCCCUCCCUUUUUUCAUUACUGACGUUUAAGGUUUUGCGCACCAAUUAAGAAAAAUUUUUUAUUGCUUAAAUAUGUACACUACUUUCCUUUUGUACCCUCAUUAAUUGUCCAAUGAUGGGCAGAUAAUACGGAGGGGCAGAUAAUUACUAGGGUUGUUACAAGGAGAGAAGCAAUAAUUACUAGGAGUAGUAAUUAAGAACCCUGUAUUGGAAAAGAGAGAUAAAAGGGUAAAAUUGUAAAAAAAUAAUUAAUACUGUAUGAGAAUUAUAAAACGACAGAUAAAAGUACACUGGAGCAAAUUUCUUAAAUGUCAGUUAUAAAAAAAAGGGAAGGAGUAGUAUGUAAUGAGGAUUCGUUGUUGUUACUUGUUAUGUACCAUGCAUGCGAAACAUGCAGCUAAUAAAUAUUGAGGAUAGAGUAGAGAUCGAGAAAAUGAGAAGGUUAGUUGCCGGUUGGGCGUAAAUUGUUGAAAUUUAUUAGCCGCUACCACCACAACGACUCAAUGUCCCUCCCUGGCAUGGUUUUCGUCAUUUUUCGGCUGAGCUAGAGACUUUUCAUCCGCUCCGAAAAUGACUCCGAUAAUAAUAAGUUUUACUACCGGCCACCCCACCUGCAAAUAAUAAACCCUGUUCUCUCGCAUUAAUUUGUCACUAAAUGUGGCUGGCGCGUCACUUCAAGUGGCUAUCGGACUAGUGCGUGUAGUGCACUCGCCUAAACAGAUUGGUGAUUCAAUCUUCUCUGAUUUUUCUUCAGGUCCCCUCCUCUAUAAUAUGGAAUGUACGUAGGUCUGUCUAUCGUAUUUGGCAAAAAAAAAAAAAAAAAAAAUGUCGCGCAUUAAUUUUGCGCUUUCCAACCAAAAAACUGAAGACUAAUUUCUUAGGACUUAGGAGCGUGGGUAGAAUGCAGGCUUUAUCCCGACCCAAAAUGUUGAAGCCCAAAAAUCUAUUGCGGUGCAAUUGUAGACAAACUUCCGAGCCCAUUUUCACAAUGACCUUUGUGCUGUGGACCGAAAGAGGGACAAAAAGAAAUCAAAGCGACCUUACUUUCUUCGCAUAUUCUACCCAGCUUGAACCUCACCACUACCAGGAAUGGAUGGCGAAAAGCUCUUCUUCAAUGGCUUACAAGAGGCAAACAGCAGUUCCUUCUGGAAAGUUAAGGGAAUCGGUGGCAAAAACGGAAAGCACGAUGACAAGCGAUUAUCGAUGGCAGACUUCCUCCACGAAAGUGGGCGUCAGGUAGAGGAAGCGUGGGAGGUGGGUCCAGUAGCUGGCUUUGGAGUCGGUUGUGGUGUUGGGGUGGGAAUGGGAAUGGUGGGAGGGGUGGGCGUUGGUAAUGGUGGGUCGAUGUGGAACUACCUCAGAACGGUGUUCGGGUUUGGAAUUGGGUGCGGCGUUGGAUUUGGUGUUGGGUAUGGACAGGGGAUUGGAUUUGGCCGCACACUGCAAUCGCUAAGAUCUCAGCUUUUCCAGCCUAAGAGGAAGUCCAAGAGACCAAUCCUUGUUCUGAUUUGAUUUCCUGUAUUGUCGCCUGGAUUCUGUUUGUUUCUUGUUUCCUGUCAAGACAAGUAGAAUUUGAAUUUCUGCUGUUCUUUUGUUUGACAAAACAUCAGUGUCGACGAACCCGGAUGGUGUGAUUUUGGCUAAUAGCAUUUUCUUUUUCCCCUGCCAAUCUUCGGCAUUUGUAGGCAGUUUUACUGCCGAAGUCUUGACCGUGGUGGUGGUGGACGCACUUUAACUCAUCCUUUUAUGACUAUGAAUUUACGCCUGAAUCUGGAUUGUAGACAACAACCCUUUCAUGAUAAGGUUGCGUGAACACCAGCCUUUCUUUCUUGUUCUACGGCCAUGACGACCGGUCACGACUACAACAAUCCUAUCAUUUGAUGAUCUUGAAAAACGAAUUUAGCAUAUUCAGAUGUGGACAAGGAGGCCUUCUAGGUAAAAGUUCAAACAUGCAUUCGUCGAUAUUACAUGCAUUCUGAUUCCUUUGGCAACAAGCUCCAACUGAUAAAAUACCGGUGGCACGACUAAAGAGUUUGGCCAUAAUCACGUUAAUCUCAAAUUACCAAAACGAGCAGCAGUAAUCAGGUAGUAAUUGCUUCAGCACUCCACUCCAUCUGAUAUUGACGUGUUAUUUAUCAGCCAAAUCAUCACAUUAACAGAAUGAUUUGUGACUAGAAGUUCUGAAUAAAUUACUAGCUGACGAACUUCCAUAGAACAUCAAACUGCACCCCACCCCCGGGGGCGGGGGAAUCAAUCACUAGUUUCUUCAACAUGUUACCACCAGUAUAUGAUUGCUCUAUGGAAAGGGGUCUCGUGGCCAGCUUGCAGAAAAAUGUGGAAGUAAACACCACAACAGCCCGGUCGGCCAAUUCAGGCCCUAGAGACUCGUUAUGCUGUCCCUCUGAAACAAGUGCCUUCAGCAACUAAACUUUCCCAAGGACGGCUCAAGAGUUCUUUUGUUCAGCCAGAUAGACCAAUGUGGCACUAUCAGUAUUUUUAAUCAGUUCAAUUAUUUGCAUGUACAUUUAACUCUUCUACAUCAAAAAUCCUUUCCUUUCUUAAGGUCUAACAGCAACGGAAGCAGCCCCAACUCCUAAUCCAAGUAAAACAUCCUAUAAAACGCCCUAUCUAGAAGCUAAAAACUGCCACAACCAACACAACACAGAACAUAGAAUGGCUCUAUCAGAAAGCAAAUCCAUCAAGCACACAAAAUACAUAAACAAUUCAGCAAGCAACAAAAAACUGUUCCAAUGCUAGAAUUCUCAUUGCAGAAGCCAUUUAAUACACUGCUGCAGACAGUGUGACCAUCAAUUGCAAGGAAUAAAAGCUUUUGAAGACAGAAAAGAAGAACAUAGAAUGGAUGAAGGUUGGCCUCUAUAUCCUGUCACUCACAUUAAGACUGAUGUGUAAACCCUGCAAACUACCGAUGUUACGUAAACCAGAAACAACUACAAACCAUCCUUCCCUUAUAACAGAGUAAACUAUUGAAUCUAGCAAACUUAGCACUCAAAUACCAGUCCGUCAAAUCAAGAUUUGAAGUAAUAUGUUUUCUAAAAUCACAAAGCAUCAACCACAAACAAAGCCAAUUUCACAAAGUGUUUUCUUCAAUGAUCCAUAAUCAACAUUCCUACACACACACACACACACACACACACACACACAUAUAUAUGAGAAAAAGAUACACCAACACACAGGAUUUUGGGAGGAUUAUAUAGUUCCUAAAGUCCACAAACAGGGAGGGCUAACAACAACACAAGGACGGUAGGAGAUGUCCUAAAUUAGUGGUAGCAAAUCAUGAGAAAACCUCAAGUUACAAAAGUUGCAGAAAAAGCUUCAAUUCAUAACACUCCAAAGAAACCUUAAACCUUGCAAUACUGGCUAGAAUGAUUACAUGUGUUAAUACAAUGGUUGACACCAAACUAAUUCACUGUACAUAUCGAACCUGUGAAAUCUAGUAAAAGCCAACAAAGUUUCUUUGUUUACCAAACAUUUCAACUAGGUACCAUACAAUUAUACUGGUAAAAAAUCUCUUCCGUCUAAGCUACUCACAGAUCUCCAUUUCCACCCAACACCAUUCAACAUUCCUACAAAUAAUCUUACCUUCGCAACAAACCUAAACAACUAGAAGUAAAUGUGCAAUUACUAUCAAAAGCAACCUAAACAACUAGAAGUAAAGACUACUAUGCAGCACGCAAAGCAAAUUCUAAUACUUGGGAAAGGGAAAUUACGUUAAUCGUGAAAUACUCAUUGUAUCUUCUGGUUAAAUCCUGCUAUAGAAACGAAAUAGUACAAAAUUGACAACAAACGCAUCCCAAUUUAAUAAAAACACUCUUUCCAUUGAUGAAAGACAACAAUGCUGAAAAUACAAAAUUCAAAAAUUUAAGGCACCAAAAAAGAGAAACAAUCGCUUUUAAUCGAUGUUUUGAAGAGAGGGUGCAGCAGCAGCAGCGACGUCAUCCACAGUGAAUUUCCCCUUAGCCUUGUCAGCAGCCCUCCCCUUAGCUUUCCUGUCCAGCAAAUCCUUACGGUCCUUAUCCAGCUUAAGCUUGGUCACCACAACAUUGGAGGGGUGGAUUCCGACGUUGACCGUAGACCCGUUGACUUUCUCCCGGGUAAUCCGCUCGAUGUGGAUGACCCAUUUCUUUCUGUAUACUUGGACGACUUUGCCCUCCCGGCCUUUAUAGGUGCCACGGACGACUUGGACUUCGUCGUCCUUGCGGACGGGGAUGGAGCGGACGUUGUACUUGUUGCGGAGAUCGGCUGAGAGAGCCGCGCUCAUGAUCACUCGGCGCACGCUUGAGGGAGCAGUGAAGUGGGCCUUCCGGCUCUUCCGGCGUGAGCUGGAGACUCUUGGGUUGUACUUCAUUUCCGGCGGGGAUGGCGGAAGUGAUGGGGGGGGGGUUGGGGAGAUGGGGAGAAGGGCGUCGUACGAGGAUGUGGGGAUAGUUGUGAGAAAAGCGGAAGCGGGGAAGUUGGGAAGGUAAAGGACGGUUUAGGGUUUCUGAAUGAUUUGACGAUAGUGGGCUUGAGACUGGAGCGAUGGUCCACGGACGAGUGGUACUACAAGUUGCUAAUUGCCAAAGGGGUAUUUCCGAACUUUUGAGAAAUAGAGAGUUUUUCAAAUUUUGAAGACUUGAGGCUGGUACUUUCACCUUCAACUCUACUAAUCUACUUAGGUUCCGUUUGAUAACAUUGAAUCUGAAUUCUGAAUUCUAAAAUAAUUAAUUUGUUAAAUUUUAAACACUGGAAAGAGAUAUAUGAAUGUCUGAAUCUUAAUGCUGAAUCUAUUUAUACUGUUUGAUAAAUAUUCAUAACUUAAUGCUUAAUAAGCUAAAUUGUACAAUUUUGCCCUUCUAUCUUUUAAUCCAAAAAGGAAAUAGAACCUAUGAUUUAAUUAGCUUAAAAUUGUUAUGUAUAAAAAAGACAAUAUUUAUUUUUAAAUCAAAUUAAUAUAAAAGAAGAAAUAUAUUAUGCAAAACAUUAAAAGAAACAUUACAAUCCAAUAAUUCAUAUAACAUAUAAAUUCGACCUAAAAAAUAUAGAAAUGAUUGUUUGAAUAGAGAAUAUCAUAUUGUUUUGUUUAAUUAGAUAAGGAUUUUGAAUAGAGAAUAUUAGAUUGUUUAAUUAGAUAAGAAUUUUGAAUGUAAUUAACAAACAGGGAUAAAUUUGGUAGAUAAGAUAAAGUAAUUGAAGUAAAUCUCUUGAUUCUUAUCAAAUUAAGCAUUCAGUUACGAUUCUUGUGCUGAAAAAAAUACAUACAAAUUCAGCACCAUUUAAUAAGUUCAGUAGGUGAAUUUUUAUUUAUCAAACACCCAAAACCUCUUAAUGUCUGAAUGAAUUCAGUUUCAGCACUUUUUUAUGUUAUCAAACAGGCACUUAGUGUGGACUAGGGUUGCAAACGAGCCGAGUCGAGUCGAGUUUUGAGCUAAUCGAGCCAAGUCUCGACUAAAUUUUACCAAGCUCGAGCUCGACGAGCCGGCAAAUUUCGAGCUCGAGCUCGAGCUCGAAAAAAAAUAAAAAAUAAUUAUUUUAUUUUAAAAUAAAUAAAUAAAAUAAUAUUUUUUUCUUAAUAAAUAAUAAAAUAUUAAGGAUAUAUACGUAAUUUUACUAUGAAAAUAAAAAAUAAAAAAAUAUAUAUAUAAUAUACGUAAUUUUAUUAUUAAAUAAAAAUAAAAAUAAAUAAAUAUAUAUAUAUAUAUAUAUCCAAACUCGUGAACCCGCUCGCGAGCUAACGAGUUUAAUAUUUUGAACUCGAGUUCGAGCUCAAGUUUAACUCGAGCCGCUCGCGAGCGGCUCGAUUCAUUUGCAGCCCUAGUGUGGACUUGUUUUCUAAUGAUUAUUUUAAUCAAUUAUAGAAUCUGAUUCAAUCUCAACUCUCCUUUGUGAAAUUGUGAACUUGUUUUUGAUUGAUUAUUCUAGCUAACUGAUUCAACUUCAAUAAUUGUGAAUUUGACUCCAUUAAUUAUUGUUAAAGUCUGAUUUUGAAAAUUUAUUUUAACUCUUAUUUUACAUAAUCAAUUUUUGUGAUAUUUUCCAUCGAUUGCUUUUGUAUUAUUUUAAUUAUAAAUUUCUUAAUCACUAAAAAAAGUUAAAAUUCAUAAUCAUUUAAAGAGUAACUUUUGUUGAUUCCCUCCAUAAUAAUCAUAUUUUACACAAUAUAAAAAAGCAACCGCGAAAAAGACCGCAAAGGUUACAACUUUGACGGACAACUCGUACCAACUCAAAACGUACAACUUGCAAAGCCUCUCCAAAUUAGGCAUUUUGAUUGAUGAACGAAUACUCUGCCACUGCCAGACUCCUGAAGCGCAUCUACUGAUACCCUGAGAUGCUCACCCCUCCAUGUUCCUCAUGUCAUGCAAAGGUUGGAAACAUUUAUAUUGGGAAUCAUUAAAAAAAAAUCCAACCGUGAAUUCAAGGUGGAAAGUGGGAAAAUUUCUCCACACACAUGAUUGUAUCAACUCCUCCAGCUUUAAAACCAGUAAGCAAGAAAAUUUUCAACCUAAUAACUACAGAGAAAAUGCUCAAGUCUCUCUCCGACCAGAUUCUAGAUCUUCAACUGCUGUGCCAGGAUCAACAGUCGAAGACAUUUCCAUGGAUGCAUUGUUGCUUUCAUUUUGGUGGUUUUCAUCUUGAGCUUCUGCAUUCAGAGCAUCGGUUGGUUGCAUGCUGGCAUGUAUUUCCUCCUGAACCCUAAAGUAGGCGUACGUCCCCCAACCUACAGCAACAGAUUAACAGGCGCUGGGGUAAAUCUGCACUAAGUCAUCAUAUCGACGCCAAUCUUCUUCAAAAACAGCCUAGCAUACUACCAAAAAAAAAAAAAAGCCCUCAUACACCCGAUCUGAUUAUUAUAUACAUUGGAAUCCCAUUAACUUAACAUGAAACUCCAAUUACAGUAAGGAGAUCAGUUACCAUCAUUUGAAAAGGAAAUAGCAGCUUACCGUCCACAUGAUAUGGGGGUGGGAAGAACUGCAAGUAGCAGAACAUGGCCACUAUGAGACCUGUUAAAAACCACAGCCUUAGAAAGUACAGUGUCCAAGUUUUCCAAUUAAAGACAAAUAUAUCACGACAAACCAACCUAUGAGACCUCCAGCAAACACAUCCUGCCAGUGGUGCCUAUAGUCAUCUACCCUUGAAAUGGCAACAAGAGAUGCAACAAGCAGGGGAAGGAAAACAAUGCAAAGCUUUGCAACGUGGCCUCUACGGUCAAAUGCUUGAAUUUUCCCAGACAAGUACAGUGAUAAGAAACCCAGACCAGCAAAUGACCCUACAGAUGUCCCAAGUCAUGACUGAGUCAACAUAGACAACAACUUAAGAACACAGCUUGACCUCGUGUUGAUUUCAAACCUCUCCUGCCCCUUCAUAAUAUCUCACAUAAUUUGACGAACAUAUGAAGAACUCAUUGCUUAGGAUGAUAAGAAAAAUCAAGCAAGGUAGAUAUGAGUUAUAGACAGGCUAUACGCAUGAACAUGUUUUUGCUUGUUAUUUUAGAUUUCAAAAAAGAUGGGAUUAUACUCACAAGAAGUAUGCCCACUUGGAAAGCUUUUGCGUCCAUCCUUAAGAAUAUGUUUCUGCCCGUGGCAUUCUACAUUUCCCCACUGAUCAUAAACCUAAAAGGCAACACAAAUAUCAACAUUAGACUAAUGAAAACUGACUUCAAGAAAUAACUGAAUACCACUGGCUACUUCUCAUUAAAGAUAUGGAAAACCAAGUCCAACAGCUGUGUACAUCUUUUCCAUCUGGAAAACAACGCCAAAAGAAGUCUGGUCGAGGGCGGCCAACAGCAUCUUUUAUGGCAUCUGUUAUGACUCCAGUUAUCAGAACAGAGAAUAAGAGCCCUGCACUUGCCAGCAACAUAAGAUGUAACAGUCUGGGAGGUAAUUUCACUGGAAUCAGAGUACUUUCGAUUGUACAGCACAAUGCUUAAAACAUUUAUUACCCAGAAUGGCGUGAUGAAGAUCAUAGACAUCUGGUCUACGCAAAUAGAAGAGUAGAAAGACGACCAUUGGCAAGAGGAUGGCAUACACCUACUUGGUUUUAAAGGAAAAUUGAAAGGAUAAUAAGACACAUAACCAACUCAUGAACUCAUAGACGGUAGUACAGAUUCACUUAGAUAAUGAUGACUGAACUUACUGGCACAGCCCAUACAGGAACAGUGUUCUCUUUCAUUGGAUACUUGAGAUCUGCCAUCAUAUCUUUCCCAACAUAGCGGUAAAAAGGAUUGAUGACAUUGAGAAUGACUACUAUUGCUGCAAGAAGCAUCAGUAUGAGCCAGUCAUGCAUAUGUUUUCUAGCCAAUGUAACCCCAUGAGUUCUCACAGUAUGUGCUCCAAGCUGGGCCUCUCUCAUUCUACUCUGCUAAAUAUCAACACAUGGGCACAGCAGACUAACAGAAUUGUCAGAUUAUUCUGAAGGAAUCCACAAAAGUGCACAAAGCAGCUAAGAUUGAUACUGGCUGAAAAUUCACAGGAAAAAUGAUAAAAUCACGACAAAAAUAACUUAUUGCAACCAAAUACAAGAUAUAUGAUCCAUUGAUCUGAUCCGACUAAGGUGAACCUAAAUGCCCAACAAAGAUCAUUUCCAAGCACAAGGAAAAAGGGUUAAAGAAUUCAACAUGGUUAAGAGCUCGAAAAACAGCAAUUUAUUUUCAUUCUCCAACUCCCAGAUAUACUUUUCCAACAUUUUAUAUGCUUAAAAAACACAUCAUUGUGUUCACUUCAAUAAGCUCAAACCUCUUUUUUCCCCCUAAAAAGUAAUAAGCACGGAGUUAGAGAGGGGCAUAACAAAGUAAAAUUUGUGAAUAGAUUGGACAAUUUAUAAAGCAAUUGCACCUGGUGGUUCUGGUAUCUUAUCAAUGGCUGGUAGAGGUGUGAAAACCAGUCCCCUCUGAAUGGAAAAUUUCCCCACUCUGGUCUUAGAAUGCCCUAGAUAAAUGAGAAAUCAGUUAAGCACAGACACAGCAUGAUGGACAGAAAGUACUACAAGAAUUUAUUGAGUCUAUCUUACACAACUAAAUACAUGAACCCUUGAAAGUUAAGACAAUUGAUUCUGAAGUCAAAAACAAGUCUCCCAGCAUCCAUACUAGCUAGGUAUUUUAGUAUAAGAUAUGAGGUGGUUGUCUGGUGAAACAUGCAAAUAGGUGCUAGCCUAUCACCAUUGUUCAAGAUACAAGUCAGCAUUCUACCAUCUAUGAAACUAAAACUGCAUUCGAUGCCAGAGUGGGCCAUUAUCUUGCACUUCCUGAAGGUUGGCUCUCCAUAUUGUUGCAUUGAGGCCGGUAACCUCGUAUCAUUUGGCAUCAAUUGACUAGCUAUUUCAUGUACAUUGUACAUCCAACACAGAUACCUUGAGACAUGUAAUACCAUCACUAUGUUUACAGUACAGGGCAACAAUAUUCUUGAGUCUUGACAUAGGGAUCCUUCCUCUCCCCAUUACCCAGCUGGGUUGCUGUGCCAUAUUGCCCUCCAUCCCUGCCCCCCCAUCUAAAGAACAUCUCUCUCCCCCCACCCCCUUAUAUAAGUACCUAAAUAAUAACCUGUCUCCUCCACCUAUAACGACCAUGAGAUUCUCAUGUAAUUAUGUGAUACUAAUGAAUGUCGGAAACAACAAAGAUUAGACUGUUCUAGAAAUCACAAGUCCGAGGUUGGUAAUCAUAAAAUAAUUCUACAUUUAUACAUUUGUAAAACCUGAAAACCUCAACAAUCUGCAGUCUCUUAUGCAUAACUUGCAAAUGAGAGACGCAUUAGAUAAAGAGAUACAUAUAAUCUGACUUCAACUAGUGAUGAAUUAGCGUUGGAAAUAAGAAUGUAAUGAUAACUCAGUAAAAGGCUAAUCUUUCCCUAGCUUUACCAUUCAGAUAUUAAAAAGGUCAUGCAAUAUCCAUAACUUAUAAAAGAGAACAAUCUCGGUAAAUAUCUUUCUGACACACACAAGACAAUGCCCUGUAAUUAAUGACCAGAGAAAGAAGAAAAAGAACAAUUAAAGAAAAUUAAGUAUGCAUACAUAUUUAACCCACCCAAAAAAAUUCUACAGACAACCAAUUUCACAAUCUGCAACACCUCCACUUGCAAAGAGAUAAAGGGUCAAGGGAAGAGAGUAGAAUUAUAAGCUCAAAUCCAGCUGAAAGAAACAUGUGCUGUUCUGAAAACACCAACCUGAGUAUGAAAAACAGCUCUGCAAUUGUCGACACACAAAAGGGAUCUCAAAUCCCACAAACCCAUGUGACUUUCUAAAUGUAUGACACUCAAAAAGACACUAAUCAAGCUAAAAUUAUCACUAAAUAUCUGAGCAAUAAGCGCAUCCUAUUUCAGAUAUCAUUCAACAUUUAAGCAAUAAUACCAAUUUAUUAAAUAGGAUUCCACGUGUAUUUUUUAAUGUGCCAAUGCUGUAUACAGUGGUCCAGUAGAUUAGCGAUCCCUUAUCCAUGGUACGGUUGAAAUAAAGUAUUUAGUCAUCACUAUCAAUAAUGGGCAAGAGAACAAAGUUAUGUCAACAUGAAAGACUGAUUAAAAAGUGGCAAACUAGUCUGACCUUUUCUAUAAAAAAAAAAAGUUUAAUGUUGUCUCGGCUACAAAAUUUGACGGUGACCGCAAAACCAAAACAUCUGGCAAAGUCACCAAUGAUACCCCGACCCUUCUAACCUUCUUCUUCAAAGAAGUUUCUAUGGCGACUGAGGACGGCCUUAAAACGGCAAGGUGUUUAUUUGUAUUCCGAAAUUUGCGUAUCUUUACUUUUGUAGGUUUAAUGCAUAGGCGAUAAUCGGAAGGCGAAUAAGGGGCCGCCAUAGAGAAGAAGCAGGAGCUGUGCGUUGUUAAGAGAGGAAAAUGCCACGUCUGUGAGUUGAGGAAUGGAAAAGGCCUUUCGCGAAAAGGCAAAAACAAAAGCAAAAGUAAAAGGAAUGACAAGUUGACAACACCAAUUUGGGAUAAUUUCACAAAUCUCCCCUGAGGUUUGCCUUAAUAUCAGUUAGCGCCCUUAUAGUUUCAAAAAAUCUCUCAAGACAGGUUUGUGUGCUAAAAAGUCAAUUUUUGAGAUAAUAAAUUAUUUGAAAUAAUUUUGUGUAAAAAUACUACUGUUGCACUUUUUUGAUGUGAUAUACGUGGAAUAAAAAAGUGAAUGAAAAAUGUGUUAAUAAUACAAGUUAGUCAAUAUGUGUAAAUAAGAUAGAAAUAAUAUGUAAUCCAAACACGCUCAUUUAAUGAAUGUGGAAACCAAAAAACAAUCUACCAUCAUACUAGUACUGAGUGUGUUUAGAUAGGCAUUUUGUUCAAAAAAUUAUUUACUUACAACAUGAUCACAUUUUUCAACACAUCUUUCUAUCUUUCUAUCACUUUUUAUCUCGCAUACAUUAUAUCAUAAAAAGUACUAUAAUAAUUAUUUUAAAUAAUAUGCUAUUUAAAUAAUGAGUGUUUGUAGAAGCAAUCUUGUAAAAGGAAUGAAAAUCUUCCAAGUAAUGAGAUUAUGGCAUUGGGAUUACUUGGAUCAAUUUGGAGUGGUGCAUAGGCCCUACAAUGUUUUAUUCAAAAUACUCUCAAUUUGGGCUGCAACUUUUUACAUGGGCGAUAUUCUAAGGGUCUUAAAAAAUGGACAUACCUUUUUUUUUUAAAAAAAAAAAAAAGGGACGACAAGGGGAUGUACUUAAGAAAUAAUCAUUGGGAAAUUCUAUUUCCAUUAAAAAUUGGGAUAAUUUUAGUAACCUUUCCUAAAGUUUCCAAGUAUUUCAGUUAGUUCUCUUCAAGUUUUAAAAAUUAUACUUACUUCCUUUGAUUUGAUAUUUUGGUAACCAAACCUUAAAUUAUGGUAAAAAAUAAUUAAUACCCUAAAGUGCACUUAUCUUAUAAAAUUUAUUUUAUUUGUCUAAACAAUUAUAAAGUAAUGCAGUAUAAUUAUAUAAUAUGAAUGAGUGCCAAGUUUUUUAAGUCAAUAUUUAUUAUUUGAUAAUUAAUUGUAACAAUAAAUCUAUCGCUAUAAUAGGCUACUUUUUAUACUGUUUUAUCGGAGAUAUAGAUUUUUUUUAAAAUUGAAAAGAAAGCAUUAUCUUGAUUUUUUUAAAGGUUGUGAACCAGUUAUGUGGUAGAACUACCACAAUUUGGUUGUGAUUUUGGCCUAUUUGAUUUUAGGUUAUUGUCAAAAUUUUUUAAAUUUGAUACCUAGAAAAAAAAAGCUACAAAAAUUUAGAUUACAUUAAAGGUUAUCAAAAAAGUUGACUAGUUUGACGUUUGAUCAACAUAGAGGUUUGGUGUAAUAUUAAUAGUUCUUCAGAUUUUAUGAUGAAAUAUAAAGAGAAAUGAAUAAACAGGAAAAAGGGAAAAAUAUAUAAAAAUCCAUCUUUUAUAUAAGCAUAGCCAACAAGAGAAUUUUAUUAGAAUGUCGAUGUUAGUAGUAUCAUUUAAAAUCGGCAAAGGAUGCACAUGUAAUUUUAAAAAAACCUAAAAAAAAAAAAAAAAACCUUAUGAGAGGUUUCUGAAAUUAUCCUUUAAAAGUAUAAGAAACCUGAUGAAUGGAAUUCUACACAGUACUAUCUGUAGUGCACUUACCAGGAAUUUAGGAAUCUUGGGUUGCACUGCUUGUAAAUGUCCAUGUCAUUGCAAUGAAAAAGUAGCGCAUAUGAUAACUUUUUCAUUGGAUUAGUGGAAAAUCACAUAUCAUCGAAACAUUUAUUCACGCUAAUACAAUAUUUGACUAUGGAAAUUACCAAGGAUGCACCGCAUUUGGAGAUCUUGUACCUUUUUUUUUUUCUCGUUUUUUCUUUUUGGUUUAGUCCAAAACUAAACAAAAAUUGGGUCGACAAAUGUCAGGUCAUUCAAUAGCUACAAAGGUAAUAGAAUGGGGCCAGAAGUAGAGAAUUUUCCAGUUUUCCUCAUUGCAAUAUCGUACAACUUUCCGUGACUGGUGAGGUGUCAAUGAGAGAGUGGUCAAUGGAAGCUUGCUAGAUUUCCCCUGCAUAUUCAUCUUCCCGAGAUUACACGUCAAACCAUGCCACCAUGACAGCCUGCUCUACGAGCUGGGAUGUGGCUGUACCUUUCUCUCAUUCUUUAUUUAUUUUUAUUUUUUGACCUUACUGUGUGGGUUUGCUUUGGUAAAGCCUAAAGGCUGCGGGCUGCAUCCUGGUAAGUAAUCAUCCGUGGUUAAUCUUUAUUUAAUUACUCGUCAUCUGUGGAUAAUCUCUUUUUAAUUGAAAAUGCCCUAUUACAUCAUCAUACACUCGCAUGCUCCAUUAUUCAAUCCCUCUGGAGACAGACAUUUUGAUCUGUUCUAACCCCAUAACUUGUUACCCUUCAGGAUCAUUUAAGUGGUCGUUUCAUUUGAAAACUACAUCUGACUAAAGAUGCCAUCCCCAUUACUCUCUGGCGCAGCUGAUUGGCGUUCAACUUAGAAGAGAUAGAUAGGCACAUGACAUGAAAGUUUUCAUUAUUCAUGUGCAUAUGUUACUUAUUUCAUAUGUUUUCUUGUUGACUGACUUCCUCGGUUUUCUCUCAUGCUGUGUGCAAAUGUCAAGUCAAAACUCAAGAUGCCCUUGCUUAUUUAGGCACUUGCGGUGAAACCAAGUUAAUCUACAUACAUCAAAACUUAAUCCAAAUUAGUCAAAUUAAGAACUUGUUUGGCCUCCUAUUUAAAAGUUAACGCAUUUUUUAAUUACUUCACAUACAUCAUAUUAUAAAAGAUAACUGCAGUAACUCUUUUUUUUUUUUUUUUUUCCAAAAACUCUAUUAAAAAUACAAUCCAAACAAAAUUUGAAAGUUUUGAAUUAAUAAAGUUUUGUUUUAUAUCAGAAUUACUAAAAACUCUCUAACUUAAGUAUAGAGCAAUUUGAGGAACUACAAUGAUAUAUAUAUAUAUAUUGAAAAAGAAAAAAUUUUAUGUUACGCUUGAUGCAAGAAGGAGAUACUUUUUUCAAGAUGAAAGCCGUCUAGCUUAAAUAAUACUAUUUGGGGCGAUGAAUAUGUUUGGAUAGUAAAUUUUUUAAAACAAUACGUUAAAAGAACAUAUGGGAACUUUAGACUCCAUUUUUUUAGAUAAACAUGUAAUUGUAAUAUGGUUGAAAGAACGCCUGCCUCCUUUUCAGAAAAAUGUGAACCUCAUAAUUUCGUAUAAUUUGAAAAGAAAAGCCAAUAAAGGGAACAAAUUGCACAAGUCAUUAUAUUGCUUUUUCACCAUUUCCACAAAAGAGUAUGCUACAAAUAAGGUCAAGGAUUUUUAUGCUAUGUGAGUCCACUUGAUACAAGCAAUAGUAAGAUAGAAGAAUUUUUGGAUAUAAGAAAGAAUCAUACCGAUUCACUUAUUCACCACGUCAUAAAUGCAACAAUACUAAUCUACCAUGACAGCUUCUUCCGCAAGUGUUUGAACAAUAAGGAAAAACCUCUUUUGAUAAUAACUUUAAAUGAGGAAGAGACUAAAAUUUUCAUAGAGAAAACAUUAGAAAUUACUUUUAAAAAAAUUAAAAACCCGAUUUAAUUUUUUUACUUCUUGAAAAAGGAACGAUUUGCACACAAAAAACAAAAAAAAAAAAAGAAGAAGAAGAAAGAAACAAAAAAUUGCGAAAAUCACGGGAUUAUGAUACUGUGUUGGUUAUUUAUGUAAAUUACGACAUUUCACUAACCUACGACCAUAAGAUUAAGGUCCUACCAUAAUUAACUGUCAUUACAAGAAAUCCCAAACCCUCUAUAAAACCUUCUCCAUCACUCCGCUCGAAGCUCCCCGGCCAUCAAACCGCCCCAAACGCUCCCACCCAAUGCCCAAAGGUCUCCACCGAACCAACCGAUGGACCCACCACCUCCGCCACCGUCAUCCACCGCCACAGACCCUCUCCCACCUCUCCCCACCACCCCACCCAAACUCCGACUUAUGUGCAGCUAUGGUGGCCACAUAGUUCCCCGUCCACAAAACAAGUCCCUCUUUUACGCCGGCGGAGAAACCCGAAUAGUCGCUCUGGACCGCCGCACGGUCUGCACAUCCAUUUCCGCCCUCACCGCCCACCUCUCCCGGACCCUCUUUGGCAACCGCCCGUUUCAUCUGAAGUACCAGCUCCCAAACGAGGACCUCGAUUCACUCAUCUCCGUCACCACUGAUGACGACCUCCAGAUUAUGCUGGAAGAGCACGACCGCAUCUCCGCCGUUACGUCCCCUACACCAUCCCGCAUCAGAUUAUUUCUCUUCCCCAUAAAGCCAGAGUCUCUGGGUUCAGCGCUUCUUGAUCCGAAAGCUGACUCGUGGUUUUCUGAUGCUCUGAAUAACACGAGGAUUGUUCAGAGGGGUCAGUCUGUUGAUGCUGCUGGAUUGGGUCAGGGACUAAUGGGUUUGGAUAUUUUGGGUAGAUCGGAUUGUAAUGCGGCCUUGGAGAAUCCAGCUGAAAGCAUGAGUAAUAAUGGUGCUGAGGCUAAGGAAAUCAGUGGGGCUGUGCCGGAAUCGUUGGUAUUAGAGACUAGCUCGUCCUUUGGGUCAACUAGUUCUUCAAUUUCAAUGUCAAAUGCGCCGGCUGUUGGGAUCCAUUGUGAGGACGGGAGCGUCAGUUUGUUCGAGAGGAGGCUCAGAGUGCCCUCCUCAGCCUCAAUUGACAGGUAAUAGCGUGUUUCCGUUCGUGUGUUUUUUUUUCUUUUUGAUUUCAAAAUUCUUUUGUGGACUUGAUACUUAAGAAUCCAAAAUAAGGAAAAGUUAAAUGAGUUAGCUUUUGCUUUCUAUGUGAUCUUCAAUUUUAAUUUCCAAGCAACUGAUGAUAGGAAAAAUAGGUGCAUACUGAAGUUUUUUCGAGGACUUAGAAUUUGAUGAGGAGAUUUGGGGAAGGCUCGAGUUUUAUUCAAACUAAAUGAUGCGCAUCCUUGAAAUAUUGAAGAGCAAUUGUUGAUCUGUUUUGAUUUUUUUUUUUAACAUACUGAUUGAUUCCAAAAUUGCCCACGAGGACUACAUUAGAGGUAAAAAGAUCUGGAUGUUGCUUGGGUACAUGGUAUUGUAUUCAGAGAAAAGGAGAUAGUGAUCUUGAUUUUUAAGAGAAUGUCAGCCAGACCACUGGUAGCGAAUCAUGGCAUCUCUAGAAUGUCUUGUGGAUUUUUAUGUUUCAGUUGUACCAAAACAUUUAAUUAUUGCGUUAGAAUGGCAAUCAGGCUUCCUACUGUUUAUUGGAGCAAGAGGCAAAUAAGUCCUCAGAAAAUGUAAAUGAUUUGCUGCUAAAUUUAUUUGUACUCGGUUAUCAAGAACUUUAACAAGUUGAAAGUUCCAAGAAGGGAAAAACUUGAAGCCAAGGUAUUGUUUCUCUACUUGAUUUUGCCAACAACCUUUCCCUGGUGUACUCAGUUAAGCUAGUCGCCAAGUGCAAAUAUUUCAUGUGCACUGCAUUGUUCAUAUCUCAUAUCGGAUUAUAAUCAUGGAAAUGUUACUGAAUUUUGCCAGUGAUAAUAGUGUUGGAAGUGCUGGUAUCCAACCAAAAGCGGGGAUACACCAAGAGCCAUAUGUUCAAGUUGCUUCGGGAGUGUCCUCAUACUCAGUAGAAACAGAAAAUUAUCCUCCUGACCCUCAAUCUGUGAUCCAAAUGCAGAAAAAUGUUCAGCUGGCUGGUUACCAAUUAUCUCAGCAAUCAGAAGGGAAGCACCACCAGUAUGAAGUCCAGUACGUUCAAGGAGAUAUGCGCUACAUGCCUCAGUAUCAAGCUGGCCCAUCACCACUUCAGUCUUACUAUCCAUUAUAUCAAAUGCCUAUGCUCCAGCAGCUGCAUAGUUCUUAUGCAGUAAACCAACCCUAUCCAAUUUACCUGGUGCCUGUGAGGCCAAAUCAGAAUUAUGGGGUGUCGGUGGAGAAUACAAAUGUUGCCUCAAGUCGGCCACCAUUACAUCCACAAGCUGCCAUGAUCCCUCCAGUGACUUAUAAAGAGGCCACAACUGGUCAACCAGUGCCUGAAUCAGCUUUAAAGUUUUAUCAGACUGUUCCGCAAGCCACACCUGCAGUCAGUGCACCCACUACACAAGGUAAGAAGCAAUUUAUGGAGCUUCCUGAGCUGCAGCAUCCUUCGCAAACAGUUGUCAGCGCUCCAGUGGCAAGCUCUAAUUAUGCUAGCGAAUUUGAUGAUGAUGUUGCAUACACUCAGAUAUAUAAAACGCAGCCAUCAGCUUCUGCCUUGCCGUUGCCAUACCAAACCUUGAUGAAGGGAGUAAAUUUGAUGGCGUCAGAGUCAUCAUCAACACAGGAAAACAUGGGCAUCAAGCAUCAGACGCCGUCACAUCCUCAAUGAGGCUCUCGUCUUAGAACAGGAAAAUUUUGAUAGGGGGUAAAUUUUCAUAUCAAGUACAGUCUUUCAUUGUGAUUGGUUUUGGGGUUAGAAUAAACCGUAUUUUGUGUUAUUUGUUGAUUGUUUAUUUAUUUAUUUUCCGCGGACUGCUUUUUUCUUUUUUCUUUUUUCGGGUGGCUGUAUUAUCUGUUAAUGGAUUUCAAGUUAUGAGUGUGGGAAAAUCUGUAAAAACUAGAGUUUUUUUCUUGCCAAUUGCGAUCUGAAACUAGUAUUGCUUUAGGGCAGCAUUCAACAUUCUUACAUCUAUUUUAGAUGCAUUCAUUAGUCCCUUUUUCACUAGCCUUACUAUGGCUUUUCAUAGCUUCUUUUUGGUGAUGCUAAUGGCAAUGUUGGACUCAUCCCAAUCACAUUCAGAAUAAUCUGUUCUCGCUGCUCUAUUGUUACCAAUACCAAAAUAUCUUUGAUACCGGCCUUGUAGGAGUAGGCGUCGGAGCUCUAUCAGCUAUUUCAUUCUUGUUAUUUACUUCGGUCUUCACAUCUAUUUUUAAUCAUUUAAAAAUGAACGUCUUAGCUAACUGUCCCAUUUGAAGGAAAAGUAGAUUAUUGCUGUAACACGUUAUGGACAUCAAAAUGCUUAAUCCUUGGCAAGGUUCGAAGUCUCUGCAACUUGCGGGUUGAUCAGGAUACUGUUCCUCUUAAUUCUCUACUGCUCUCUUUUUAGUGAAAGCAGCCAAUAUGUUUUAACAGAAAGAUUUUUGUUGCAAUUGGAAUGGUGAAUUUACACAAUCGACUUGUACUCUCUCGGGUACGGUGGAAAUGAACGCAAAAAAUUGCCAACAUACUGUUAGUCGUUGGAAUUCUCAGAUUCCAGGGGCUAGGUUCCUCUGACUUUUAAGAAGCAACUGACUUUUAAGAAUCUCAAGCGCAAUGGUAGCAGGUCAACCCGUCGAGCGAGGGACUGUCUUGUUCCCUCUUCAAACUAGUAGCAUUUUGUGGAGCUUUACAAGGAAACGAGUUUACAGGCUCUUUAGCCGCUGUCUUUUACCAAUUUCGAAGUUUGUAUCAUUUGGUAAUAUUAUAUAAUGGUGCUUGUUUUUGAUGGGAUCUCAAGUUCAUAUUCGAAAAUUUUGGUGGAUAUACGUACGCAUUCUAAAAGAUAAUGCUGGCUGGGAAUUCGAAUUGCUCAUGCCACAGUAUGGUUUCCUCGAUGAUUUUCAGACACUUACUUCCCCUUAAUACGUCAAGAUUAAGAACGUGUUAUUGGGCUAAAUACUUCUCCCACGGUUAACCAAAGCAAGCAACCUCAUAAAGUGCUGCUUCUUUUCUGAAUUUCAAUAGCUUUUGGUUCUCUGGUUCUUAAUGAGAUAAUAAUGCUAUCAAGAUUUAGAUGCUAUCUUCUAUAAAAUUGCUUAAUAGAUUCUUGGGACCAUUCUCAAAUAUCUCACAUAAACUCGCAAGCACAGUUGCUAAAAACUUUUCUUAGCAUGAUUUCCUGAUACAUGUACAGCAAGUUUACUGGUUUAGCAGGUUAAUAAGUACUAAACCUGGCAGAAAUGCGUCUGACUGGGGUGAGACUUAGCUCCUAGCAGUUAUGCAACAGAAAAUCUUAUUUGAUGUAUCUACUUGCCAGAAGGGGAUUUACUAGUAGUGUUUAGGCUGUAUGAUAACCUCUCAAUGGGCUUCUAUGCCUUUAUUAGUGCUCUUGCCACUGAAGAACUUGGCUAGAUUUGGCAUAACCUUUUUUCUCCUCCUGACUGCAAAAGAAGCCGACCUUGGUGUACUCCGAGGAGCUGGAGAUGCUGCUUUUCGCAGCUUAGCUCGUCUCAUCGGCGUCGUUCUUCCGCUUCUGUUUGUUGAUUUUGCUGGCAAUCCAGCCUGAGGCCCUGGCGUUUCCAGAGCAAUGAUCUUUUCAUAUUUUUGCUUCCAACUUUUGAAUUCACUCUCAACUUUUAGCUUUUCAUGAAGUGAUUCCUGUGUGUUGUCAGCCUCCUGGUCUUCCUCCACCUUCAGCUCUCUAAUCUCUUUUUUAGUUUUCUCAAGUUUGAUCAGGAUUUCUCUUUCGCUGGCUUUUAGAGCUUCAAUCCAUGCCUGGGCAGCUGCAACCUUUUUAUCUGCAAUUUCUUCAGCUCCAGCCGCACGAUUUCUUAGGUAUUCGUAUUCAAAACUAGAGAUCAUUAUGACUGGGCUGCGCUGUGAAACUGAAACUCUUCUUCUCACUGUGUUGUCAAUAAGCGUUUUUAGUUUCCCCAGAGCCGCAGCUUCUGAUGACUUGGCAGAUUUGAGCUCUUCGAUUGCAGCUUGUAACCUUUCCUCUGCCAAGUCUAUCUCUGAUUCAGUCUUCUCAAUCUCUGCCUUGAUGUUUACGGUUUCUUCAUCUAUAAGUGACCUUUCUUUUUUGGCUGCCUCUGCUUCUGUCUUCAUUUGCUCAAGAGCACGAGAUAAAUUUGACACAAUUUCUUUAGCCUUUUCUUCAGCUGCUGACGCAGCUUCCAAUUUGGCUUUUCCUCGCAGGAGCUUUGCAUUCAGGUUUUGUACUGUUAAGUCCGUCUUCUCUUCCCUUUUCUUCGAUCGCGCUGCUUCUUCUUUGACAUUUUUUAGUUCGGUCCUUACUAUAUCCAUGGAAGCCAUAAAUUUAAAACCUUCUUCCCUGACAGACGCUAAUUCUUUCUUAGUUUCCUCCAGUUCUUUUGUGAUAGAUUUCAGCAGUUCUGGAGUACUUGAUACAUGCCCAUCCUGAGAACUACACUCCGAAUUUCUCAUGGUCUCUUUACCUCGGUUUACUGUGCCCAUUUUUUUGACUUGCUUUAGUUCACUCUCUAGCGUUUUGACAUCUGAAGUAGUUAUGGCCAGUUUCCUCUCAAUCUCUUUUGCAGCAUCAAUUCCUUGAGUCAUCCCUUUGAUUUUCUUCCUUGUUUCCUCCAUUGCAGCGGAGUGUCUUUCAGCUUCUUUUUUUCCCUCGGUUUCAAUAGCUUCAUGUUCCUUGAGGGCCUCCAUCCGAGCCAACUCCACAAGCACUUGUUCUUCAUUUGUUUCCUCAAUCUCCCUCUUCAGCGCAUCCACUGUGCCUGAAUAAGAUCCCAAUUUCGAAUUAGAAGCUUCUGUUUCUUUCUCUGCCCUUCUUUUUUCUUCCAAGAGAGAAGCCAUCUCCUCCUUGAGCAUUUUCAAUUCUUGCUUUACAUCUUUCAAUUCUGCCAUUAGUUGCGGGUACCGAUGAUUUUCCACGUUCCUCCCCAAACCUGCUUCAACCUUUUUAGUCUUCGUUAACUUCUCCAGGUAUUGAAUCCGUUCUUUUGCUCUGGAAUUUGAUAUUUCAAUCCUUGAAGUUAGAUCCUUUACAGUGUGGUUUGCGACUAAAAGUUCGGAUUCUGCUUGUGGUUCUGCCGGCUUUCCAUUGCUUCUGCUCCCAUCAUACUUGACAGUCUCGCCCAUUGCAAACUUGGGCUCCCUUGUUAGUGGAGACGGUUUCUGAAUACAUUUCAAAAUGUUUCAGAACAGCUAAAAACCAGAAACAAAUUAAUCUAGCUGCAAUUCUUAGAAUUGCAAUUUAAACCUGAAAUAUGAUGUUCAAGUAUUACUGCUGGCAAGCAUCUCAUAUAUAUGGUAGUACCUCUGAGUAGAUUUGUGGCGGUUUCUUCAAAGAGUGAUGGUUUUCAAGCAUUCUUUCCCCAUACACGGUUGCAGCUGCUUUAACUGGUCUACUACUCCUGUGGUAAACAUCACCCGCAUUCAUCUUUCCGUAUCCUGCAUAAGGAAAGCAAAGACUGCAUAAAACAAGGGAUAUAAUUAACUAAUGAAAAGAUUCAGAAGGGAGACGCCAGAGUAGGAAUAUAACCAGAAUCCUUGGAGGAUCAGAAUCCAGGCAUCCACGCUAGAAAGGGUUGCUUGAUGUGUCCGUUGUCGGCAGCUGGUGCAAGUGAUAGGAGCACCAAGAAAAAUGGCUAUGAAAUAAUGAAAAUUCUGAGGGAGAGGAUAAGUGCAGCGAGGCGCGGCUGAGAGAGUUAGUUGUUGGCUUGCACGUAGCCUUGGUGGUAAAAGUUGUAACAAAGCUGGUUCAGUGAAUGAGAUAAAUCAGCAGAGAGGAGAGAAAACCUAUGAUUGGCUACCAUUGGAAGCAUCGCCAGCCAUCUAAAUUGUCCAAUCUCUGGACCCCAACGAUGCCAAUUUUCUGGUCAAUUAAAAUUUCAACUUCACAUCUCAUCAUUCAAGUUAACCCUCGUUUCUUGUUCAAUUCUGAGGUCUUAAAAUGCCCACUUUUGGUUCUUUUGUUGCUGAUAUAUGUUGUCUUAAGCUUGCCUGUCAAGUUGCAAUGACUUUUAAGUAGUUGGAUUUAGCGUACGUAUGUUUUCGUAUUGCUAAAGGCUUCUAUGUAUGUCCUUUUCCUAUGGGCAAACUUUUUGUUGCAAAACAGUAGAAAUUCCAUGUGUAGUUGGAUGGUAGUAAUUUACACGGGAUUAGCUAAAAUUUGAGACUUCAUUGUUUUGAAGCCUCCACUUCAAUUUGCAAACGAAGACAAGAAUCUGCAAUUGUCAGAGGCUCAAACUUGGAGGGCGACAAAAAGUCGUGUUCUUUUCUUUUCUUUUUAUUCCCCCUCUUUUUUGGGCGCACACAAAAAUUUGAGGAGUUAGGCAAAAGAAGGCGAUAGUCAAAUCCAACGUUUAUCCUUGCAAUUGAUUCAGGUGAUUAAAGUAAUCAAAUAUUAAAUUAAGCGAAAAAUCAGGUUAUUCCAACUUCAGGAAUAGCAGCAAACUCUGUCAAGAAACUUACGUUAAUGUAGAAAAUGAUAUUAACAAACCUUCAUCAUAUUAAUCUUUAUUGCAUUGGUCUUAAAGUCUAAAAAUCUACUUCGUUUGUAUCUCAAUGAUAAGUUGAAUUGUCAAACAGACCCUAAGUGAAUUGAAUAGACUGAAGGGUUAUUGGUGAAUAUAUAGAGGGACAAUUUUGUCUCUUAGAAUAUUUGAUAGUUUUUGUGUCAUUUCAUUAAUUAAAAAGGAAGGAAGAGUACCUGAAAUUUUUUUUGAGUGCAAAUAUCAUUUCAGUCAAUUUAUUGCAAUGACUACACAUGGUGAGGUGUCACUUAAACUACAAAAAAAUUUUUUUUUUUUAGUUAGAGACAAAAAAAUAUACUAAUCCAACAUGUUUCUCACUAGUUAUUUUAUUGCAAUGACCGUGUCUGCCUUAAUAUAUUGUGAGGUGUUUUCAAGCUUCAACGUGUUAUCAAUUAUCACCGUGUUUGCCUUAAGGUGUCAAAUUUCGAAAGAUUAUUUAUUUAUUUAUUCAUAUUCACCUAAUUAAUUUUUUUUAUUGAGUUUUAUGAUUUUAAAAAUUAUUUUCAAUUUCAAAGUUGUCAAGGGUCUAGGGUUGCAAAUGAAUCUAGAGUUGGCCAAAUCGAGGUCAAAAAUAUUAAACUCGUUAGCUCGCGAACUGGCUGGCGAGCUCAAGUUAUAUAUACAUACAUAUAUAUUAUUUAUUUUUUUAUUUUAAUGAUAAAAUUACAUAUAUAUUUCUAAUAUUUUAUUAUUUUUUAAAAAAUAUUAUUUUAUUUUUUAAAAAACAAGCUCAAUCUCAAGCUCGAACUUGACUCGAAUUUGAGCCGGGCUUGAGAUCAAGCUUUAAAUUUGCAGUUUGUUGAGUUCGAAUUCAAUAAAAUUAAGUCAAGAUUUGAUUUGAUUAGGCCAAAAUUCAAUUUGACUAGAUUCCUUUGUAGUCCUGCAAACGCCUUAGUGCUUUCUUGGAAGAUUGGGCCCCAAGAUACAGACAGGCCUUUUUUGAAUCACGUAGUCCGCAUGCAAAUCGGGUCUUUUGGGCUCGUACAUUUUGUGUCUUUUGGGCCUCGUACAUUUUGUGGACAACACUGGUACCUUCUGGCAUGGUGUGUCAAAAAGGGUAUCGUGGGCAUUGUAAGCACUCCAUAAAAGAUUAAAAGGGCGCCUCUGAAAAAUCAUUUAUUUUUCUAUUAAUGGACCAAUUUUAUAAUUAGUGGACCUGAAAUAAAACACUUAUUUGUUUCACAAAUUUUCAUUUAUUCCCUUUUUGAUGAACUACACAGUAGUAUUUUGCAGGUGUAAAAUCAAAUCAACUACAAUAGAAUAAUAAUACUGCUUAUUUUUACUAGCCAAACAAACAAAAAAAGAAAUUUCUCUUCCCUGAUAUAACUGUAUUUCUUUAUGCGGUGGGCGGUGGCCAAAUCUCGUGCUGUCGUGCAGAAGCAGUAUAUCAGGUGGCGCUGCCUCGCAAACACGCUCGAUCAUCAUAUUAUGAUGAAUGGACAGUUUUUACGCCCACACUGAUUCUGAUGCUGCUGCAUAGCACUGUAGUACGAACCUUUCUCCACCAGGGAGAAAGUCAUAAAUGAAGACUAGUCUUCGUAUAUAUAGUAUAUGCAACACAAGAAUGGUUAGAAUUCACCCAUAUCUCACUUCUCAGCUGGAAAAAACUCAUUCCAGAUUCAGAUCUAAGAAGAGAUUCUCUCCCAGAAAAUGUCAUUGACAUUGAUGAUUAUCAGAAAUUGGAAUUUAGAUUUGCAAUUGAAAUAGAGGCUCAUAGGAGAUAGGAAAUGGAUGUGGAGAAAUCGUCGCUGUGUAAUUGCGUGGUGAAUUUCCUACUGGAGGAGAAUUACUUGUUAACGGCGUUCGAGCUUCUCCACGAGCUACUUGAUGACGGCCGCGAUGAUCACGCUAUUCGUCUUAAGGAAUUCUUCUCCGAUCCUUCUCGUUUCCCUCCCGAUCAGAUUUCUCGCCUCAAUUCCCUCAGAGGUUCCAUUAGUUUUGUUUUUCCUUAUUUGUCCAUUCAGAUACACGAAUUUUUGUAGAAUGUCUGCAUAACUUGUCCCAACUGUUUAAAAAUAAGGUUUAUCCAGUUUCGCUUUCUUCUUUUCGUUGAUCUGAAUUGAGUUGCAUGAAUUCUAGACUCGAAGGAAUUGUUGAAGAUCGAGCGGUAGUUUCUAGCUUCUUGAAAGGAUGCUCAAAUAUAAUGCAUUAAAAUGUUAACAUUUAAAUGUGUGUAAUCUGGGACGAGAUAUCGGCGUGGCAGCAUUUCCGUUGUUGCAUUUACUUGCAUUUUAAAAAGUUCUAAGAUACUUCUUUUCUUAGUGAUUCAGUGGAUGUGGCUCUCGAGAUCUGGACUUGAUUAGUGCUAUGUAGGUUGUAUGUUAAUCUUUAAUAAUUUAAAGUUUUUGCAACAGAACAUAUCAGAAUCUUCUUCCAUAAAGAUUUUAUGAUUUCUAGAUGCUGAUGGAGGCUGCUUAAAAUAAUGUACUGGUGAUAGAUUAAAGAAACAGAGCUGGUAACGUAGUCUGAAGUGAGUACUGUAGUAUGCGAUGAUGUUUUAGCUUAUUUGACUAGCAUACGUUGGUGGAACAAAAUUUUCUACACAAGGAUAAGCGGCUUAUUGGUUUUAAUGGUUUAAAAGAUUUUGUUUUAAAUAUUUCCUUUUCUAAGAUGUUACUGAGGCUUAGGUUUUUUAUGUUUUUUAAAUUUUAUGCCCAAGUGAAUGCAUGCAUGAAAGUGUUGCACUAUGGUAUAACUGAUGCCCCAACCAUCUCUUUUCAUGUGUGAACAGUUGCGGACCCACAAAGUCUGCUUGACGAAAAAGAAGCCUUAGAAGAAAAAUUAGCAUUGAGUCAGUAUGAGCUCCGUUUGGCUCAAGAAGAUGUUCUUAAACUCAAGACUGAGUUAGAAAAUAGAUCUAAGGGUACUCUGGGUGAGAGAAGUGGUAAGUCUUUGAAUCUUAUUACAAUUGCUUGCUUUUGUUUAAUAUAGCUUUGCGUUUGGGAUAUGCAGCUAUAUCCUUGAAAAUGUUUUGUUCUAUUUGAUUAAAUGACUAGAUUUACUUACUUGGAAUUUGUGUGGAUAACCGGAUCCAUAAGCUGGUGUCUGAAAUGUGUAUACUUAUCUUAGAGAUGUAGGUUGACGCUUGCUCUCCAGUUUUGUAAUCUUUCUUCCCCAUGUUUUCUGAACCUACACAAUUCCUCCCCCCUCUCCCGGGCCCCCCGCCCCAACAACACUAUAUAUAUAUAUAUAUAAUUUAAAAAACAAAAAGUAAAAGCAAAGAAAUUUUUCCUUUAUUUUCCAGUGAGACUAGUCUCCAGUUUCACUCUGCCAAUUACCAUAACUAUGCUUAGUCUGAGUAAAUUAUGGAAACAGAAUAUUCUCUCUCAAUUGUUCUGCCUAAUUGAAUUUUGCAGAGACAAAUUUAGAUGCUUCUGCAGAUGUUCAACGCCAGAGGAACGAUGCUUCUUUCUUGGACUUGGGAUCUUUGAAGGACAAUGAGCGACAAGAUCUCAACUGUGCUGUAAAGGAAUAUCUACUAUUUGCUGGAUAUCGUUUGACUGCAAUGACAUUUUAUGAGGAGGUAUUUUAAGCAGAGGUGGCUUAUUAUUUUAUGUCGUGACAAAGUCAAUUCUCAUAGAGCUGGAGUAUUGUACUUCCAUUAUCUGUAGAUGACAUCUUCUCCAGCUUUUGUUUUAUGGCAUUAUCAGUAUCUAGAAACAAAUAAGUGUUUAAGAGGUAUUGCUUAGCAGUGGUUGACUACUCUAGCCAUCCAUAUUACCCUUUGAUGCAAGUGACUGAAGGUUAAAUAUUUAAACAUUUUAAGGAUAAAAUUUGCAACAGUUAGGGGAUGUGUCAUAUAAGGUUUUUAAGUUGGAUACUUAUUGAUUUGAAUCCCAUACUAGAGACAUUUCUGGGGUGAUCACCUGCAUUACUGCAGCUUACUUUUAAUCAAAAUUCUAAAGUAAACUAUCCGAUUUUGAUGCAUUGACUUUGUGGUUUGCCAAGUGUGGUUUCCACAUAUUUUUAUGGCUAUUUUGUUUGCAUAGGAUAAGAUUGUGAUUUUCUUUAGUAUCUUGCCUUGUCUUUUAUCCCAAUUUCGUUACUGCUGUAAUACAUGCAUCUACUUUUACAUGUAGUAUGAAAGUUUCUUACUUCCAUUACAUGUUUGACAGGUUACUGACCAGAAUCUAGAUGUUUGGCAAAAUUCCUCUGCAUGUGUUCCAGAUGCCCUGCGCCAUUACUAUUACCAGUACCUUUCUUCAAGUACAGAAGCUGCUCAGGUACUUCCCUGCUCAUUAUACAUUAUGAAAAGUUCUUUUUACAUUUAUUCUCAAAAUAACAUCAGAUAAGAUAUUAAAUCAUCUACCUGUUUACCCUCAGCAGAAGGGUAUUUGUACUACCUUGUUUCUUUGUGAUUAAUCAUCUUAGUACAGGUCCAAAUUUCUAUUGUGUUCCUUAUUGCUACUUCAGGAGAAUAAAGUGAGCCUGAUAGCUUGUUGAAAACAACUUGUGAUUAGUUAUCUUGCAGGCUUACAUUUUUUAUAGCUUUGUUAUUUCCGCUAAGAUCGUGGUUUCUUCCAUACAAUGAUCUGGACUUUGCACAUUUGUACUUAUUUGCGGUCAAUAUCUGUUAUGCUUUUUCUUCAUUGUGAAUUUGGACUGCCAAAUUUUUGCAUAUUCCCAUAUGUUUUGCUUUUUAUGAUUCGCUGCAUUGUUUGUGGGGACAGAGUUUUCUUUGUGACAGAUAUAACAUUUCGUAUAUUCUUAUAUUAUCUGCUUGCGAUGACCAAGCACUUGAUAAUAUCUUUUCAUAAAAUGUUGUUGUAUUCGCCAAACUGUUCAUUGGUGAGAAGAGCUGUUGUGCUUUGCAGGAGAAAAUUACUAUGCUUCGUGAAAAUGAGUCUCUGCAGAAAGAAAAUGAUAAGCUGAAGAAGGAAAAACAGUCCUUACUGAAAAGCAAGGAUAUUGCAGACACCCAAGUGGUGGCAUUGAUGAAAUCCCUUGAAGCUUUCCAGAAGGAUAUAAAGGACAAGGAAGUUCUGGUGAUUAUCUUAGACUCUUCGGAAAUAUUGCAGCAUGUUAAAUGCACUCUAUUCAUGUUUUCUGGACAACAUUUUGUCACAGGUUCAAGAAAUGAAGCAGUCUAUGGAAAGCCAAAGGAAAGAACUUAAUGACUGCAGAGCUGAAAUUACUACACUGAAGAUGCACAUUGCACGUUCUGGGCAGAAUUUGGUAUCAAGUGACUCCAAGCAUGUGGAGUUACGGUCCUCUGAAAGCUAUAUGGAAGAAAUAAAAUUGCUGGAAAAUGAGAUAGCGAGGUUGAAAGGAACAAAUGCCAUGAAUAUUGAACCAACAGAGGCCUUUGAGCAAAGUAAAGGAGGAGAUGCUGAAAGUGAAGUUCGAGAUUCGGUCAAAGCUAAUAGAUUAGAAUCUCCAGGUCAUAUCUCCAGAGAGGAUUUACGAAGUGAAGAUUCUAACUCACAAUCUGUGCCAACUGUGGAUGGCACCACAAACAUAUUAGACAAAGUGUCAGAAGGGAAACAUUUGUCAUUGUCAGAUGACAAUGGUGUCUUUGUGAACAAUGAAAAGUUUCUCAAAGGGGUUCAUGAAACUCCUAUAGAAACUAAUGAGCUAAUUCUAAGAACUGAAAACAUUCCUGUUGAUGCUGAAACUACUGUAAGUUCCUUCAGUUUCCUUUUGAAUCAUGCUUUCUUUGACCUGGAGAUAUACUUUUCUGAAUUGAUUUUCUUCCUUACCAGGGAUUGGCAACCAUACAGGUCCUUUCAGAUGCAUUGCCUAAAAUUGUACCCUAUGUAUUGAUUAACCAUCGAGAGGUAUGCUUCAGAAGUUGUUGCCAUCUGUGUUUUGAUCUAUUUUUUUAUUAUACUUUCAGAACAGCUUCUGAUAUCCCAUAGCAAUAUGUUUUUUCAUGGAUCACAUGAUAUUGCGUAUCUGCAGGAGCUCCUUCCCCUGAUGAUGUGUGCAAUUGAGCGCCAUCCAGACAGCAUGACUCGAGAUUCCUUGACCCACACGUUAUUCAAUUUAAUCAAGCGUCCAGAUGAACAGCAGAGACGUAUUAUUAUGGAUGUUAGUUUCAUAACUAUUCUUAUCUGUACUAUAUAUAUAUAUUAGACAAGUUGCUGAUGCUGUGAUCAUGUUCAGGCUUGUGUUACACUUGCCAAGAAUGUGGGAGAGAUGAGAACAGAAACGGAGUUGCUUCCUCAAUGUUGGGAGCAGGUAUGCCUUGCCACUUCCAGAAUGAUGGUUCUUAAAUUUAUUAAUGUGUUUUUGGCUGUUUCCAGUCUGAUUUGUGAAUGAUUGAUGUGUAGAUCAAUCACAUGUAUGAGGAGCGACGUCUGCUGGUUGCUCAAUCAUGUGGAGAGCUUGCAGAAUUUGUCCGUCCAGAGAUCCGAGAUUCUCUCAUCUUAUCUAUUGUGCAACAGCUGAUUGAGGAUCCUGCAAUAGUUGUUCGUGAGGCUGCUUCUCAUAAUCUCGCUUUGCUGCUGCCACUCUUCCCCAAUAUGGAUAAAUAUUUCAAGGUCAGCCUCACUAAAUAUGCUUCGAGGCUAUCAUGGAGAAGAAAUCUGACUUCACAGAAUUGCCUACAAUGUAAGCUCCGUGAUCUAGGGAAUGGAGCAUUUCCCCUGGUCAUAGUAUGAUGACUUACAAGAAACAGUAAGACCAAUAAAAAGGAGUUUCUCCAAUAAAUAUUUUUAUUUGUUGAUAGGUUGAGGAGAUGAUGUUUCAGUUGGUGUGUGAUCCGUCUGGGGUGGUUGUAGAAACCACUAUCAAAGAACUGGUUCCUGCUCUAGUAAAAUGGGGUAACAAAUUGGAUCAUGUUUUACAGACUUUGCUUUCCCACAUCUUGGGUUCUGUUCAGGUACUAGUCCAGCUUCUCGAACUUGAAUGGAACUGCUUUAGUUGUAGCUCUAAUAUGCUUCUCUAUUUUUCAGCAUUGUCCACCUCUAUCGGGGGUUGAAGGUUCUGUCGAGUCGCAUCUUCGUGUUUUAGGUGAAAGAGAACGCUGGAAUAUUGAUGUCUUGUUGCGCUUGUUGACAGAACUGCUCCCAUUUUUGCACCAGAAAGCUGUUCAGACUUGCCCAUUUGCGUCAGUUUCAAAUGGUGUAGGAACUUUCUUCUCUGUUUCCUUGCUUGAACUAUAUUCUAGGUGAGCUCAUGUUUACAUUGUCUCCCUUCCAGAUCCAAUAGGAAAUGGUUCUUCAUGUUUUCCAUCCACCUUGGGAGUCUAGGAAAUCUAGAUUUGGUAUAAGCUUCUAAUUUGAAAUUUCUGUUUAGGGGAAAUGUGGAGUGGCCUUCAUUUGAUUGGCUACAUAUUGACUGCUUUCCUGAUUUAAUUCAACUGGCCUCUCUAUUACCUCAAAAGGAAGACAAUUUGAGAAAUCGAAUCACAAAGGUAUUUGAACAGUCCAAUCGGGUGCAUUUGAUUUAAUGAUUCUUCUGAUUUCACUUUGAACUGUUAUUGAUAUGGUGUUUCCUGAUGCAGUUUUUGUUAAGGGUUUCUGAAUGUUAUGGGGAAGCUUAUUUGACGCAUAUUGUGCUGCCUGUAUUCUUGCUAGCAGUGGGUGAUGAUGGUGAUUUGACAUAUUUCCCCCAGAACACUCAUGAGAAAAUAAUAGGUGAUUGAAUGCUUAAAACCUUCAUGACUGCAUGUUCCUCUUGAUUUGAGUUUUGAAGGAUAGAGUCAUAGUGAUGAGUAGUUCCUUUUGUAACAGGUUUGAGACCAAAAACUACAGUAUCUGGUAGACUUGCUACCAUGGGUGUUCUGCCGCUUCUCUUGGCAGGUGUUUUAGGAUCCUGGAGCAAGCAUGAUUACCUCACUGAGUACUUGAGGAAGAAGUUGUUUCAGAGCUCUGAGGAGGAAAUUCGGCCAGCAAAGCCUGAGCUUGUUAAUUCUGUUCGCUUCCUUUGGUUGGUUUUGUGAUGAAAUUUUCACAUGUUGUGCUUCCAUUGUAAUUUACAUGUAUUCUGUUAGUUACUAUAUAUGUCAAUGCAGCAUGUACAAGGACAAUCAUAACAUGAUUUUUGACAUCCUUUGGGAAAUGGUGGUCAAUUCCAAUAUAGACACGAAAAUUUGUGCAGCCAAUCUUCUGAAAUCAAUUGUAGGACCUUUAAUUCUUGAAAAUUUUCAGUUCCAUUUUGGUUUAGAAUGUAUUUAUUGAAUCUCACCAUUCUUUCUCCUAGGUGCCAUAUCUGGAUGCAAAAAUUGCUUCAACACAUGUUCUGCCUGCUCUUGUUACGCUGGGUUCUGACCAAAAUUUGAAUGUUAAAUAUGCAAGUAUUGAUGCAUUUGGAGCUGUAGCACAGCAUUAUAAAAAUGACAUGGUAUAUACCUAUAUUUUGUUCCAGUUUUACAUCCGAUUAGAUAUUGAUAUCUUUAUGUUGGCUGAUGAGAUAUUCUCUCAGAUUAUUGACAAAAUUCGGGUUCAAAUGGAUGCUUUUCUUGAGGAUGGAUCGCAUGAAGCUACAAUAGCUGUUGUCCGUGCAUUGGUUGUUGCUGUUCCACAUACGACAGACCGACUCAGAGAUUAUAUCCUCUAUCAUUCUGCUUUGAGCAGUUUAUUUUUGUGCUUUAAGUGUCUCUCUUCGUUUGCUGUAAUCUUAAGUAUUCUCUCCUAACCUCUAGUUGUGUGAAUGUGGUGAAAUCCUUUGUUCUUUAACUCAUUGUACAUCUCUUGUCCAAGAUUUUCCAAUUCACAGCCGUGCCACUCCCUUCAAAUGAUUUGAUUCGUCGGCGUGAGAGAGCCAAUGCAUUUUGUGAAGCCAUACGCGCUCUUGAUGCAACAGGUUUGCUUCUGUUAAUGUUAUGAAUUAAUUUUUUAUUUUAUGUCAUUCUCUUCUCCCACAUACAUGGGAAAGAGCAAAGUGAAAAAAAUUGUUCAAAAAUAAGCAUGCGAUUUUAUAGGGCCAUUUCCUUGAGAAGUAUAUGUUGUUACUGUUUGUGUUCAAUACCAUUCAAGACUACAAGAUGUAAAAGUUUGAACUGUUAUGCUGCAGCCAACUCUGACUGCUAAGCUUGAAGCAUUCAUAGUUGAGAGGCUGUAGCUGAAGUGGCUGUUGCCUAUUAGAUUGUUACCUUUUCUAAAGUGGAUGAAAUCAUACAACCCCUUAUCUUCUAAAACUUUCUGUUCUUUUCAAGAAUUUGCUGCUAGAAUCUCUGGAGAUGUUUAAUAUAGUUUUACUUCCGCAAGUUUUUAUGGAGUACAACUGUCAGCACAAGAUGUCUCAUUCUUAUUUUGGAGAGAAUUUAGUAAAAGCUAUGGGUUAUUCUUUGAGGUUGGUAGAUGCUCCUGAUUGGAUGAGGUUACAGCAGUAAUAACAAUUUUGGUAUAAAACAUUUAUAUCAUGAAUGUGGCUUCAAGAAGGUGAUGAUUGUCAUGUAACCAACUUUCUACUGUUGAUUGUAGUAUAAAAAGUUGUGCGCGCCAAAUUCUUAUAGGGCUUUUUUGCACUUAUCAUGCUCAACUUUUCUUUCAGAUCUUCCUGCUUCAAGUGUUAGGGACUUUCUUUUGCCUGGAAUCCAGAAUCUGUUGAAGGACACUGAUGCCUUGGAUCCAGCGCACAAGGAAGCACUUGAAAUCAUAAUGAAGGAGAGGUCUGGCGGAACUUUGGACACUAUUAGCAAGGUAAUGGGUGCCCAUCUAGGUCUACCAUCUUCUGUAAGCAGUUUCUUUGGUGAAAGCGGGUUACUGGGGAAAAGGGAAACUGUAGAUCAAGCUUUGCCAUCACCAGAGCCGGUUCCAUCACCACCAGCAGUUGAAGAUACAAGACUACGGCGGAUCAUGAGGAGCAGUUUCACGGAUAUGCUCAGGGGCAAAGCAAAGGGCAGUGAUGACACUCCUCACAGCCAGUGACGAGGCUAUACUUUUGUAGAUUUUAAACCAUAGGGCCUUAGGCACGUUGGGUGGGUGGUAAUGAAGGAAGAAUACAAAUAGUGUGCGAACUAGUUAAGGAUUUCUUUACAUUCUUUGGUUCCUGUGACCCAUAUAAAGUUUGAAAUUUUGCAGUUUCUUGUGGAACUAUACAUGGAAAAAAAAAAAAAAAAAAACAACAUUGAAUCAGCACAAUCCACUGCAGGUUUUACAUUUCGUGUUUUCUGAGUGGAGGAACGUGCCUUCAGUCCUUUGCCAACCAGUUCAGGAGGCCAUUCGUGUUGCUUGAGUUAGAAAAUAGACUUCUUGUAACCAUUAUUAUGACUGGAAGGUCAGAGUUUAUUCGCUUUGAUAUUCCAUGUAAAAGGCAACGGUUCUGGCAUUUGAAACAGCACGAAACAAGAGCAACUGCUCUGAGAUAUACGGCUUAGUUAGUCUGCAACCAUACCGUUGCUUGCCAUUUUCACCACCCUUAAUUUGGCGUGCUAGUCUCUGAUAUUCUGUGUGUGUUCCCCUUCGGCUGCAGGAAUCAGGAGGCUCAUCCAUGAAAACUUAAUAGAACAAAUGCGAGCUCAACUAAAAUCUAAUGUUUGAACUGGCCGUGCCUGGUUACUGAUUUUUUAUUAUUUCUCAUUAACAUAAUUAUUGAAGUCAGCUAAAGAAUAACAACAUGAACACCCUUCGGCCCUUAACUUUUCAAUUCCAAACCCAAACGAAUUGCUAGAGCCAAGUCUUCAGUGCGCUAUUGCGCUUUUGUUGAUUUACGUUGUCAGUUAGCUGAGUCUGUCAACAUACUUUCGAGAUUAAAUCGACUUUAGUGUCUUAUAAUGCUGGGUCUGCUGGCUAUGCAGUCGGAUGAUUCUCUGGGACAGCUUCAUCUUGAUUUCACAAUUUUAAUCCGAGGACCAAGGAGUGAACUUCCAUUGUUCCUUGCCCCAAAAUCAUAUUUCAUGAUAGAUCGCCAACGCGUGCAGUAAAGAAUAUGACUGCUAUAGCAUGUAAAAUUUUGGGUGGCCAACAUAAAGGCACCAGGUGAAAGCCAAAAGUAAAUACUCCGUCCGUCCCAUUUUAAUGAUCUUAUUUUUUUUGUCUGUCUCAAAUUGUAGUCUAUUUUUCAACUAAAAAAUGUAGUUAUCUUUUAAUUUUUUUAAAAUAUCCUUAUUUAAUGUAGGUUGUUAUUAGUAUAAACUAUCUUAUUUAAUGUAAAUUGUUAUUGAAUAUAACCUAUCGCAUAUAAUACAUUUAAAAUUUUCAAAAUAUAUUGAUAUAUGAAAAGCCAAUUUUGUUAUUCUUUCAAACUUAUUUAUGUCAGUAGGGAAACAAACGAUGUCAUGAUUGUCUACAUUAUUGAAAAUGUGAAAUAAUGUAAAAUGAGAAUUGAUUCUUUUUUGACCAUCAAUUCAAGAUUUUAUGAAUAAUUAAUAUUAAACUAUACUCUAUUUAAUAAAAGGAUAUUUUAGAAAAAUAACAACUUAAAUUUGCUUUUCCAACAAAAGUAACUACUUUUUCUUAAACCGUGUGAAAAAAAAUAGAACUAUCAAAAUGGGAUGGAUAGAGUAUAAAAUUUUAACUUUGCAGGUGCAAAUAUCCACAACACAGGAGAGUGGCCGGGUGAAAUGUCCCAGAAACUGUAGGGCUUUCCUUCCGUUUUCACUUCCGAUGCUUAAAUUAGUUAUUAUAGGUUUUUAUCAGAAGGAAAAAGUUGAAGGAAGAAGAAAGCUAGUGAUCUCUCUCUUCAAAAAUCAGUGCGUACCUUUGAAUUAGGGUCUUUUAUCUCUAAAUCCAUUUUGGGCUCAGUAUCCAACUAUUAUGACAAUGUCGCCAAUAUGUCUCAUCUUAACUGACCCUUAAUUGAUCUUGUGAGCAAUAGGGUAACGCUAUCACUAAUUGCGAUCUGCAAUCUCGAGAUCACAAAUCACAAGGGAAUAACAUAUAAAUUGUCAGAAUGUCUUUUCUUUUGAAUACAUGUCAGACGUUAGGGUGACUAAAAAUAUGUCAAAUAUCACGAUGAUUGACACGUUGUCAAGAUUACGGACACGUGUCGUCUUGUAAGAUCCGUCUCCUCCAAACUAGAAAAUGUAUUAAAAAAUUAAAAACUACUUUUAAUGAGUAGAAUAUAUAAUCUAAAAUUACUUAAAACCUUAAAUGAAUUCUCUCUCUCACCACGUUUCACCCUAUAGAAGAGAACUGCGGCUUCCCGUCAGGCCAUGAUUGAAUCCAACAAUUGCAGUAAAGGCUCUCUACAGCUAGAAAAAACGAUGGCAAAACAACUGGGCACAGGUUUAACGCUAAUCUUUUGAUGUACGGAGUUGAUCAUUUUCGAAGUCAUUAUAUUAAUUCCUAACCAAGAAGUUACUAGGAUUUCAAACCAAGUUACUAUAGUUUAUUCGGCCUAUCAAGCGAGUUGUUUAAUCGGUUCAACAAGAUGCAUGUUUGUUCCGUUAGUUGAGGCCCCGUGAAGCAUGAUCAUUAGAUGAUAACACCCAAGGCAGUGAUUCAAGCUUCUGUCGUCUUGUCCUAUAUAUAUAAGACCAUUAGAUGUGCCGCAGGUCAUGGUGAGAAUUGCAUGGAGAUUUAGAAAUUAAGGGGGGAAAAAAAAGACAAAAAUUUUGGUUCCAUCCAUAUAUGCUCAGUAUUUUGCUGCGAGGCAAUUACUUUGUACGCGUGAUUUUAUUUCCCUAAUCGCAACUUUCCACGUCGAAUCUAGCAAGAGUCCUAUUCUUCAUAUGAUUAAGCUUUCGGAUUUUGUAGUUUAUAAAAGGAUGACUGAUUUGGCAGUGCAUUAACAUGUAUUAGAAAAUAUUUCCAUAACCAUUAACAUCCUCCUCAUCUUGUUCUACAUUCGAGAACAAAGGCCAUGAGCAAGGGACUUGAUGACGAACGAAAGGCCAUUAACAAACAACUGCAUCGAGAACAAAAUUAAAUUGCAUCCACACCUAGCCAAGAAGCUCCAACAACUCUUCAAAAAGUCCUCAGGAGCAGGAACUCUAAAUUGAAGAAUAUUAAACCAAACUGUUUUAGUAUUAGUUUUCGAAUUCUUUCUGAUGUCUUGUUUGUCUAGUUUUCAAAUUAUAUUAGGAAAUUUCAAGUCAGUUUUCAAGUAAGUUUUGGUUUAUAAUUGUAUUUGUUUUAGAAAAUUUUGCAGUCUAUGAAUACUACUAAUCUAGUAGGUUAUUAUUUGAAAAAUUAAAUUGAAGAGUCGAGUCGAGUCAUAGAAGAGUUGAAUUGAAGAGUUAAGUUGAAUCUUGAAAAGUAGGUUUGAGAAAAAAUCUCAUAAUUGAAAUUUAUGAGUUGUCGUGAGCGAAAAAUUACGAUUUUAUAUUUUUAUUGUUGAGUUUGAGUUAAAUACAAUUAUUAAAAAUUUAUUGAGUAUUUGUUCUCCUCCUUUUUUUUUUUACAUAUUUUUAUAUGUGCUAAAAUUAUUUUCGCUGUGUGUGAGAGUAUUUUUUGUGCCGACAAGUGGUAUCAAAACUAGAUUUUGAUCUUGGAACUUGUUCACAAAAUUGGGACUUGGAUCUUGUUCGUGAAAUUGAAGUAUGGAUCCAUAUCAUUUAGAACAUUGUCCUAUUUUUAUCUUUCAUGGUAAAAAUAAUUUUGAAAUUUGGUGGUUGAUGAUAAAAAAAUUUUUCAAAGAUAUUGGAGUUUGAAACACUAUCCAAAAGAGGUUCACGGAACCUAUAGUAGGUACAAAAUUAUCAAACGAUACAGUUAAACAAUUACAGAGAAAUAAAUACUUGAAUUGCAAGACAUGCUACUAUCUCAGUACUCAAGUCCAGUUACAUGUAGUGAAAAAUUUUAUAUUAGUGAAAAAUUUUAUAUAUAUAAAGGCAGCAAAGGAUGCUUGAAAAAUUUUAAUAAAUUUUUAUAGUUAUGAUGGAGAAGAAAUUUAUGACGAGAAACAAGGAAUAGAAAAUUUUGAUGAGGCAAAGAAAGAAGAAAUUGCAGAAAUUGUGGAUACAAUUGAAGAUGAAGAAUUUGUGAUUCAAGAAGAAAUUUCACAUAUGGUUGAGAAAAAAAAAUGAAGUCAUUGAUGAAAUUAAAGAUGUGCUUGAAGAUCAUGACCACGUAGAAAUUGUUAAUUUUGUCAAGAUUGGUGAAUUUUUUGAAGAGAAAAAUCACGUGAUGGAUUUGGUUGAAAUCAAUUAUAAGGUGGACAAAUUAAUUGAAGGUUGUAGUACUGCUAAAGUUGAUGCAGCUGUUAGUGUUGAAAAAUUAAAGAAAAAACAUGGUGAUAUUGGAAAUUUCGUUGGUAAAAUUAUGAUUUUUGGAAAUUUUAUUAAUGAUAUGAAUGAAUUGAAUUGUGGAUUAUUUAAUGAAAAUCGAUGGAUAUAUUUGAAUAUUUUGACAAGAGUGAUCAAACCAAGAAAUUGUUUGAGAACUACAAGUUUCCUCCACUAUCGCGCGUGAAGAUAAAAUUAAAAAUUCACUGCAAAUUAGUGUUUUAUGUGUUUAUACAACGACUGAAUUGUUCAUGAAAAUUCAAUUUCGUGAUAGUAUUGGAGAUGACGAUAUUAAGAGUUUGAUUUAAGGGAAGUAAUGAAGGAAAUUAAGCCAAACUAUUUUGGUAUUAGUUUUAUAAUUCUUUUUGGUGUCUUAUUUGUCUAGUUUCCAUAUUAAAUUAGGAAAUCUCAAGUCAGUUUCCAAUUAAACUUUGGUUUACAAUUGUAUUUGUUUUGGGAAACUUUGUAGUCUAUAAAUACUACCAGUCUAGUAGAUUAUUAUUUGAAAAGUGGAGUUGAAGAGUCGAGUCGAGUUAUAGAAGAGUUGAAUUAAAGAGUUAAGUUGAGUCUUGAAAAAUAGACUUGAGAGAAAAUCUCAUUGUUAUUGUUGAGUUUGAAUUAAAUAAAAUUAUUGAGAAUUUGUUGAGUAUUUGUUCUUCUUCUUUCUCCACAUAUUUUUAUACGUGCUAAAAUUGCUUCCGCUGCGUGUGCACGUAUCCUUCGUGCCAACAUAAUGUUGAUGCAAGAGAGAUGCAAAAAAGCCUCACAUGAGUUUUUUUUGGCUCAUGAGUCUUCUAACCUUGUAGACUCUUCCUAUAUAAUUGAUCGACUACGUAGAUUCAACACUGCCUUGAAGAGCAACAGAGGUACAACAAGAAUAGUGACCUCUAUUACAAAGUCAGAAAGGGUUCUUGAAUGUAGCAAGGCUACCGAUGAGGUUGAGCGCGAUCGAAAGAUUAGAGAAUACAUUGUUUUCGACUUUGGCGAUGAUUAUGGCAAGAGGGGUUAUUCAGAUCUAGAUGACGAGUUCUUUUACGGAAAUUUGGAUCCCAGCCUCACUGAUAACGUAGUUGUGUUUGACAACAUCUGUCUCACCGAAAUUGAGGAUAGAAAGUAUCGAAGAGAUGAGAUAUUUACGCUGUCACCAUUGACGAAAGAAGAUUUGGAGUUUUUUACUUCUCAAGGGCUAUAACCUUCAUCCACGAUCUCUUGUUUGCUGGGAAAUAGUUGCAAUCCUACGUCAUGUGCAUUUUUCAAGUUUUAUUAAUUUUGUGAGUUACCACUUCUUUUUAUUUCCAAAAGUAGUAAGAGUACAAUUCUUUGUCUCAUUAAUAAUGUUACCUUCAUAUAUGCAAGCGCCGCCCAAGCUUAGCUAAUGAUUUCAAGAAGUAAAUGCUUUCGUUUUUCUUGAAUUAAAUCUCAAUUCGAUUUUGUUUUGCAAUUUUGUGCCCAAUUCGUUUGUCAUUGUGGAGAAUUACACGAGUAAAAUAGUAAUGGCACUUUGCUUCCUCCGUGAAUGAUAACAAUAACCCGUACUUAACGGCAAAAACAUGAUGAAAAUUCCAUUACUUGCAUAUCGCUACCAGUCAAAUUGACACAUUCCAACAGCGGACACAGAAAUAUUUUGCUCUUUUAGUGCAAAUUCAAUGUCAUAUGUACUAAGCUCAAAGAGAGCAUAGAAAUGUGAUUAAAAUAUGAGCAGGCAAAUAAUACGAAAUCAAGAACUGUAUAAGAAAGUAAACAAUUAAUUGCCCGUCGAAGAAGAAUAUAAGAAGUAUGUGGUUUUUGUUGCUAGUGCUGCAUAAUGUUAUGGUGCAUUGCCUUUGAAUAUUGAUGAUCUUAGCACACCUUACAUCCAAAAAUUUAAGGCAGAAGAGGCACUUUAUAUAGCUGUGAAAAGAAUAUGAGUAGGAAAUUAAUGACACUUAAUUGACAAAAUCACCAUUGGUUGCGUCCUCCUUUUGGAGAGAUUGGAAUUUGGAAACAAAAUGAAUAAUGAGAUCGGGCUGGAAAAUGUUGCGUUAGGAAAAAAAAAUAUGGCUAUGGCUAGAAAGAAAGAAAGAAAGAAAGUUGAACAAGAGGAGACGAAUAAACAGAAAAGGAAAAAGUUUCAAGUUUCUCCCUUAGUCAAAAUCUCUUUCGUUCAAGAAAACAACACUAGAAGCUUCGAAAUUAGCGACACAUCUCUGUUAAAAUGAUAAUUUGUUGAGUGCACUCCGAUAUUAAAAUCAGUUAAAAUGAUAAUGAGGAGGAGGGCACUCAAGACUGUAAAAAGAAAAGGCUUCCUAUAAAAUACACUCCAUUAUCAAAUUGCUACGAGUAGGUUUUGACAUGACCUUAGCCUACCAUCCUCGCGACAAACGGUGCAAGUUUGGCACUUGGCAGGCACACAUGGGCAGUCAGUGGGAUGUCCACUGCCCCAAACCUAGUCAGUAGUAUUUCUAUUUCAUUUUCCCCUCUAUAAAUUGCCCAGCAACUGAGGUCUUCUUGCACACAUUUUCACUUGCCCCAUUCGAAUAUUUCUCGUCUCCUCUCCCCAGUUCUGCACUAGCAUUGCUUCCCCAGAAGAAGAGGAAAAAAAAAAAAAAGAAAAAUUCUCAAAUAGGAGCAGCAAAGUAGCAAUGAAGAUGAAGUUUCGUCAUGCGGUUGCAGCCUGGUUGGUGAUGCUGGUGGUGGCCGUCGGUGAGGUCCAAGUGAGCAGGGCAGUCACUUGCAGCAUAGCAGAGCUGAGUCCGUGCCUUUCCGCAAUCAAUGGGCCCAACCCACCGUCUGCACCUUGUUGCGCCAAGCUGAAGGAACAGAGGCCUUGCUUUUGUGGGUACAUCCAAAAUCCCACCUAUGCUCAGUACGUCAAUUCCCCUAAAGCCAAAGGCAUUGCUAAAGCCUGUCAAGUCUCGAUUCCCAACUGCUGAGUUAAUGGGAAAGGCAAGUUCUCGCCUCAUGGAGGAUGGUCAUGAUAUAUUCUACUACUAUGUAUUCUCACUAAAUCUUCCUCAAUAAAAGUGGCCUUUACCUGAAACUACUGAAAGGGAACGGAGGCAUAUAUGAUUAUAUAUAUAUAUAUAUAUAUAUAUAUAUAUAUAUGUAUGUACUAAACUGCUUUGCUCCUCCAUCACCUCCUCGUCCUCGUAGCGCCAUGCACUCUCUAUUUCUUGAACAAGACCAGUGGAUGGUUUAAUAUGCAUUCCAAUUAAUUAUUCAAGAAGAUAAUUUGCAUCUAUAGCUUUGCAAUCGCUUUAACUCUCAUUUCUGUGUACAGCCAUACCAUCCGUCACGCUUUAACCCUUUUUUCUUUCGUUUGGCGAUGCGACAAAUUAAUGAAAUGGGAACAUAAAUACAGUACCUGAAACGCAAGUUUUUUUUUUUUUUUGGAUUGAAGAAUCCCAUCGGCAUCUUGCAAUGCUUAAACAUAAUAGAAAAGGUCAGACGAAGGGAAAGCAGAUCGAUAGCUGGUUUCUGAAUAACAAUCCUCAGAAUCUCUUAGAGGAGUCUUCCCUCAGUAUCAUAAUAGCUUUUUUUUUUUGUUGGGAAAAACUCAGCAGAAUCAGAGAAGCAGGGUCUUCUUCUAUAAGUUAAUAUGCAUUAACCACCGACAAUUGAAUACCAAUGUCGAAUUAUCAUAUCAGAUAGGCAAUGAUAGGCAAGGGAGGGCCGCUACAAAGAAGUUUCAAAAUUAAACGUAGAAAUGAAGCUGAUAUCCAUAUAAUUACUAGUUGAGAUGAUUGUGGGUCUAAGAAACUUCACUUUCGCAACUCUUUUUCUUCCAAUAAACAACGACAACUGAAAAUUCAUUGAAGUCAUCACAAACUGCAUCAACCUUCUUCUCUCUUUGGACCUUUUUUCAGCACAUUACGUGCCCCCGUCUACUGUUUUUUUUUUCCUUGGAAAUUAGACCAGCGCACUCUUAUGAGAUGACGAACCUUAAUAUAUAAGAGGGUAAUAAUGCUAGAUAUUAUAUUGUUCUCCUUAUUAAAAUGUAUUAGCCUAUUAGGAUAUAAUAAGAGAGAGUAAUCCAAGCAAGCCUCGUACGAAAAAUUUAAGUUGUGUUUGGAUUACAUUUUCCGUCAUUUUUCAUGAAAAAAUUAUUGUAGCGAUUUGAUACAUGUGAGGGAAAAAGGUGAUAGAAAAAUGUGAUCACGAAAAACGAUAAUAUUUUCUGACAGAAACAAGCAAUCCAAACAAGGCCGAUCGAAAUAAAAACAUGUCCGUCUGUUUUCAUUGGAAGAAAACUACAAAACAGAAACUUAUACUACUCUUUCUAUAACUUUUUACUGAGCCUGGGUUCAAGACUCACGAGAGGGAAGUCUUCCUUUCCGGACAAAAAGAGCGGCUCACGAUGCUGGUUAGGCGGAUGACAGAGAGAGGUGGGCAAGUGAAACGCGGUAUGAAAACUUGACUUCUUCCUGGCUAUACAAAUGAUUCUUCGCUCCCAUCCAAAUCCAGACAAGACGGGGACGAAUGAGGUUCGCGACAGAAAUUAUUAUCAUGAUUAGCGUUAAAGCCACCCGUGAUGAUGCGUGUGUGCAUUCUAAAAAUACUUUUUUUUUUUUUGACAAAUUAAUUUUACUUAAAAUUUUCGUUACUAAAAGCCAGUUGUGAUGUUUGAACCCUUUUUUCCUGCCCUAUAAAAUGAUGAUUAUUUUAGUAGUAGUUGCAGUGAUUAGCGGUAGUUAUUUUGUCAAGAUAGUCCUGAGUUAAAUAUUUUGGUGUUUAAGUAGCGAAGUAAUAAGUAAUUUUUACGGGCGAGCGUAAAGUUCAAAACAUAUAAAGUGACAAAAAAAUAUUUAUUCCAACUCCUCCUCUUAUACGUAAUAGUAUAUACAUCAACUCUUUUUUUUUUUUGGACUAAUAAUAAUCAAACAAACAACAGCCAACUCCUCUUAGGUGAAGUAUAAAAUGCAAAUCUGACUGCAGGUUAGUGUUCGAGCAAUCCCUGUAUUUGUUUUCUUUUGCUAUAGUAAAAUUUAAAGGGAUUGCAAAAUAGUCCAACAAUAACGGAGGUGGUGGAUGACCGACACUAACGGAGGAGCCAUGUACACAAGUAAUGAUUUGCAUCAUGCUUAUAUGUUUUAAACACAUGGAUCGAAUUACCAUUUAACUUUCACCUAAGCAAUCUUUCAAGCUCCUGCACGAAAGAUAUUAGCAGGCCGAUAUUUUCUUUGUCGCCAUUAUUAUUGCUUCUGUGCUUUGAACCAAUAGAUAAAAAGAACAGGAUCAUCAGAGGGGAAGCUUUCAUUCGCGGGUCAGGCGGCUAUUACAAAAAUGGACUUCUGGUCUUGUGAUUUUCUGAAAUGAGCGUGCAGAUAAAACGGAAAUGGACACGUAAGGACGACGACGAAGACUUGAAUGAGUCAGGAGACAAAUCAGUCAUGCCUUUGCCCUCUCUUCUCUUGCAAUUAGCCGAUUAGUCACUCACGCGGGAGAAAUUAGUGGUGGUUGACGUUGAAACUUUUGGCCAAAUGUUGAAACUUGAAGGUGGAAAUAUUGGAAAAGCCACCAAGAUUUUUAAAGGUUUUCCACUUCAUUCAUGACAAGCAAUUAGGCCAAUGUCAAUUUCCUAGUGAAAUUUGGCACGAAACCUCUCGUCUUAUAGUAAAUGGGACCUAUUAUGUUUAUUCCUGGCUAAUCCCUUUCACACCUCUGUUUGAUAUUAUUGUCUGCGACUAAUAAUGAAUCAGCACAUUUUACGACCAAGUCCCUCAAUCACGUCUUCGCUACAAAGAAGUUAUAAUAUAAUCCUAUAAAUAGCUUAGCAGGAUUGCACCUCUUCCUCAAAUUCUCAUAACCCUUCAUUCCACCAGGCCAAAAAAAAUGAAGCUUUCGCAGAUGCGUCUGUGUAGCGUGUUACUGUUAGUAGCGGUGAUUGUUGGUGAAGUGGAAGUGAGCAGGGCAGUGACGUGUACUCCGACGGAGCUGAGUCCUUGCGUUUCGGCAAUCAUAUCGAACCAGCCACCGUCGCCGGCUUGCUGCAGUAAGCUGAGGGAGCAGAGGCCCUGCCUCUGUGGUUAUCUCAGAGAUCCCAACCUCCGGCAGUAUGUCAACUCCCCUAAUGCUCGCAGGGUUGCUAGCUCCUGUGGUGUGCCCACCCCAAGAUGCUAAACUCCUCCUCCGUUGCAACAAUUCUGGAUCAUUAAUAGUAGUACUUAAUAUUUCUACUCCCAGCCUACUUCGGAUAAUACGAAUGAAAGAGCAAUAAAUAAAUGUUGUACCAACAUCAAAUCUUGCCUAUUAGGCUUGUAUCAUGUAAUGCCGGGAUUAACUUAAGUACCAUAUGUUACUGCUUCGGUAUGCAUCUCUGCCUCCCAUUUAUUUAAUUCUAUUAUUACACUGCACAAUUAUCUUCUGAUGGAAUCAGACAUAAUUCACACAAGGUGACGAAUCCUCAAUACUAUAUAACAGUAUAUAUGAUCACUUUUAAUAUCACCAAUUCGGUCGAUCGAUCACCAAGGUGAGAAUUUGCGUUUUGCCUGCCCCCGUUGGUAAACUCAUAGCAUACCCACAAGCAACAAACUGCUCUCUCUGAUUGCAUUUUUAGCCAAAAAAAAAACAAAAAAACAAAAAAGCGAAGAGAAGAAUGAAAUACUAAGAACAUAUGAGCCAAGUGCCGUUGUGAAUUUGAGUUUUUUUUUUUUUUUCCCCCUUCUCUCGUGCAACUGACCACUUCUUUUUCUCUAUUAUUAUCAGUGCUAAGGGCACACCUAUUAUGCUGUAUGUGCAAUUUGGAAACAAUUAUUUUGCAUAUGAAAGAAUUAUUUAAUAGAUUUUUUGAAUAGGAUUUUAAGUAAUUCGGUGAUUACAAACGCUCCAUGGGUGGUUAUAGUUUGAAUAGUUAGGGUCAAAGGUAGUUGUUGUUGUAUUGGUUGACAAAAUGAGCAAUAUGUGAUUAGACGGUAAAAAGUAAAAUUAAAUAAUUAUAUGGAUAAUUAAUGUUGAUACUAUAAAAAGUGACGAGAUAUGUUUAUAGUACCAAAUUCAUGGUUCUUUCUUUAUAUAUAGUGUAAAUUAGUUCUAAAGGCACACACAAUAUCAAUAUGUGUGCAUUUUAGAAAUACUUUUUUUACAAGUUAAUUUUAUCUAAAACUUCUUUCCCUAUCAAAUGAUGAUUAUUUUGGUACUUACAAUGUUUAGAGGCAGUUAUUUUAUCAAGAUGCGUUAAAAUAGUUAUGGGGGAAAAAAAUAUUUACAGCCAGUUAUCUUAACAAUUCAUGUUGAAAUAGUGAAGUAAUAAGUGAUUUUCACACAAGCAAAGUUCAAAGUGACAGCAAAUAUUUAUCCCAAACCUUCUACUUCUCCCUUUAUAUAUUAUAGAUGUUGACUUUAUUCUGGAUUAAAUAACGAUCAAAACAGACAAACUAAAAAAAAAAAAAAAAUUGAGUAAAAAAAUUCUUGGAUGCAGUUCAUUCGCACUUUUUCCUUCCAUAGUUAAUAACUUCCUGGAGAAUUUGUCAUUUCCUUGGAGUAUCUCGAGUUAGAAUUUAAAGAUAAAUUGAAAUCCUAUUUCCCUGGAGAACUGGAAAUACAUUUCUCGUCCCAGAUAUACGCAUUACCCAAAAAAUGCAAAACUAGUAGUCUCAGCUUGGGGCGUGACCGAUCAUAAUGAUUUGCAUCAUGUUUAUGCGUUUUAAACACAUUAAUUACCUUCCGACCGCCACUUUAGCAAUCUUUCAAGUUCCUCUGCCAAAAGCAUUAGCCAUUUUUGCGUCUCCGUUCGAACCAAUGGAUACCCGAAGGGGAAGCUUUUCGUUCCCGGGCCAGGCCGCUAUUAGAAAAAUGGACAUCUGACGGAGGAGCAGUCGCGUCAUUUUCUGAAGAAGAAACGGAAAUGGACAACGAGGACGACUUGGCGUUUGACAGGUGCGAAGACUUGGAAUGAAUCGUGAGCCUCCAAUGACUAAUCAGUCAGUCAUGCCUCUCUUCUCUUGCAAGUUGCAAUUAGCCAAUUCCUAGCACAAGUUGGAACUAUUAUUCCUGCCUAACGCGCUAAUCCGUUUCAAAGCCCCUAUUUGACAUUGUCUGUGAUUCAUAGAUCAGCCACGACUAGCUAGCUACGGAUACCAACAUUUUACCUACUCCCUCAAUCACGUCUUCACUGCAAAAUAUUUAUUAUAAUCCUAUAAAUAGCUUAGCAGGAUUGCAUCUCUUCCUCAAAUCCCCAUAACCCUUCAUUCCUUCGAUAAUUAUAUCCCUUCUGGAACACUCAUAUAACCCACCAAGAAAAAGAAUUAAAAAAACGAAGUUUUCUCAUAUGGGUCUGUGUAGUGUGUUACUGUUGGUAGUGAUGAUUGUUGGUGAAGUGCAAGUGAGCAGGGCAAUAAUAUGUAGUCCAACGGAGCUGAGUCCUUGCGUUGCGGCAUUCAUAUCGCAGCAGCCACCGUCGGGGGCUUGCUGCAGUAAGCUGAGGGAGCAGAGGCCCUGCUUCUGUGGUUAUCUCAGAGAUCCCUACCUCCGGCAGUAUGUCAACACCCCUAAUGGUCGCAGGGAGGCAAGCUUCUGUGGUGUGCCAUCCCCCCGAUGCUAAACUAAACUACUCCAUUACAAAAACUCUGGAUCAUUAAUGUUAUUGCUGCUGCUACUAGUGCUGCUUUGGACAAUACGAGCAAAAGAGUAAGAAAUAUUGUACCAAUAUCAAAUCUUACCUAUUAGACUUGUUAUGGUUCUUAUAAUGCGGGGAUUAAGCAAGCACACGUUUCUGCUUCAGCAUCUCUCCUUUCCCUUUAUUUAAUUCUAUUAUUACACUACGCAAUUGUCUUCUGAUGGAACCAACCAGAUAAUCCACAUAAGUGUGAUAUAACUAAUAUGAUUACGGGGGUCGAUCAGGUGAGAAUUUGCAUUUUGCAUCAGCUGGUGAGCUUAGAGUGUAGCCACAAGCUACUAAGUUUGUCUCUCUGACGGCAUUCUUACCAAAAAAUGCAAAGAGAAGAAUGAAACUCCACUAACAUAAGAGCCAACCGUCGUCGCGAAUUUGAGCUUCUAUGCUUGAUGAAUCCAAGUCGAAUUGAGAAAGAAGAAUAGAAAAAUCAGCAGGAAGGCAAAAGAAUUUGUAAGGAAUUAAUGGUAUUACAAACACAAAUCAGACCCUCAGUCCCAUUUAACUAGUGGCAAUUUGGUUUCACUCUUUCGUUCAUUUGAUGCCAAGUGUUCGAUUAAUUUUAGUUAAAAUUAAAUAUCACGUUUAAAAGAGAUACUGAAUUGCCACUGAGACAAUGGCGCUGAGGAUCUCAAUCGAUUACAAACAUGUCAAAAUAAAUUUAAAAAUUCUCACCAAUAUCGCAC